GAGGAUGCCGGAGCACGUCCAUGACGAGGCUAGGUACAUCAUCAGUAGCCUGGUCCCCAUGGCGAUAUCCUACUUCAACCCCUACGAGCAGAUCACCGUGUCCGAGUACGGCGAGGAGCGGUUCCGACGCAACAAGAUGUUUGACGCCGUCUCCACCUACCUGAGCCGCGUGUGCGCCGGUGGCGCCUGCAAGCUCAAGGCCGAGCUCUGCAACAACGGCAGGGACGACCCAAUUGUCACUCUGGACGAGAAUCAGGAGGUCGUCGACAGCUUCGACGGCGCACGCAUGUGGUGGAGGCUGUGCCCCAAGGCCUCCAAGAACAAGGGGGCCAUCACCGUCACCUACUACCCCGGGGAAGCGGACAAGCCGCGCUGCUUCAAGCUAGUGUUUCACAAACGCCACCGCCAGCUCGUGCUCAACUCCUACCUACCAAGCGUCGUCCGGCGUUGGCGCGAGCUAACCGCGAUGAACCGGCAGAGACGGCUGUUCACCAACCAUGCCAAUGAGGCGAAGAAGAGCGUGUGGACCAGUGUCCCUUACAACCCCCCUGCAACGUUCGACAUGCUCGCCAUGGACCACGCCAAGAAGGUUGAGAUCGUGGACGAUCUCACAACGUUCCAGAAGGGGAAGGAGUACCACUCAAAGGUUGGCAAGGCGUGGAAGCGGGGCUACCUUCUGCAUGGGCCACCGGGCACGGGCAAGUCCACCAUGAUUGGGGCCAUGGCCAACUUCCUCGACUACGACGUCUACGACCUCGACCUAACUUCCGUCAAGAACAACAGCGAGCUGCGGAAGCUAUUCCUUGAUACGACGGACAAGUCCAUCAUCGUUAUAGAGGACAUUGACGCGAUCGAGGUCGAACUCACUACCAAGCGCAAGGGCAAGAAGGCAGCCAACGGCGACGAAAUCCACGACAAGCGUAUGCUGAUAGAGUUUUCCGACAAGAACGAUGAAAAAAGCAAAGUGACUCUGUCGGGCCUGCUCAGCUUCGUCGACGGGCUGUGGUCGGCGUGCGGCAGUGAGCGGAUCUUCAUGUUCACGACGAACCACAUUGACCGGCUUGACCCAGCACUAAUCCGGCCAGGGAGGAUGGACAAGCACAUCGAAAUGUCUUACUGCCGCUUCGAGGCCUUCAAGGUACUCGCCAAGAGCUACUUGGACAUCACCGAGCACUCACUAUUCGCUGAAAUCGAGCGGCUGCUCGACGACACUGACACAACUCCGGCAGACGUCGCCAAUAACCUCAUGCUGAGGAGCAAGAGGAACGGUGAAAUCAGUCGACUGCUCGACGAGAUCGAUGGGGCACCGCGGGCAGAUGUGGCCAAAUGGUGCAAGAGGAAGAGAGACACGGACGAGUGCCUGGCAGGUUUCGUAGAAAUACUAAAGAAAUCCAAGAUGGAAUCUGCAACAACUCCAAUGGAUUCAAUGGAAGAAGCCAAAGAGGAACGACCUAACGCAAAAGAAAGCUACAAAAUGGGGCGGAUAUAUGAUGAGAACUAUAGGUUGGGAAAUGCCAGCUAGACUCCUUGUUUUGUGUUUGCUAUUUUACCAGACUUGCGUGUUUACUAGUCACUUAAGGUUUCAAAGCCAUACAUAAAAUGGAAUAAUAUAAAAUUAGUGGUGUAACACUACUUAUUUUCUCGAUCUAUAAUUAUUUCACGCUCUAUAAUUUGUCUUGUCAACUUUCAAAUGUUGCUAAAUCUUGGUAAUCACAGACUUAUAUAACUGGGUGUUGUUUGUCGAAAAUGCUUCGCCUCGAAUGUUCGAUGUGGGAUGAAAUAUUCGAGUGGGUCCCACCACCGAACCAGUCUCCCACCUUUUCCUCUCCACGUUCAAACUUAUCCCCAUUCCCUUCUCUCGCAUUUUGCUCUCUUCCUCUCCGCCUCUCACUCUUUGGCUAUCCACCACCUCGCUGAGAUGCAAUAGUAGGAGGCCGGCUUCCCAACCUCCACCACCACUAUCAGCACCUCACCACCACUGUAUCCCAUCGAAUCUAGCCACGCUAAGUAUUGACAGUCGUUAUAUACCACUUUCGAUCGUCAAUAUAUCCAAAAUAAAUAUGAACUAGCUAUGCUUGCAUGUAUAUUUUGUUUAAGAAUAUUCUAUCUCUACUUGUACUUGGAAUAUUAUUUGAAUUCAGAGAUUGCUGCAUAAAUGGAGGAGAAUCGACGGAAAUUAACCGAACAAUCAAUCGUCGUCCGUCGAGUGGCAAAAUUUUGGAACGAUGGCCUUACAAAACCAUUUUUAACACCUGCGAAUAAGCCCAACUAUCCUGCCACGGAGUAUAAAGCCCAACAAGGAGGAUCUAGACCAAAAUUGGAGGCCAGAGGAGCCAGCCCAGGUUCGGCCGAACCCUAGCCAGCGCCCCUUAUUCUAGCCUUCCACGUGGACGCUCUUGAUCACUCCUCAAUGACGGUUGUGGGGUAUUUCGGACAAUUCCAACCACCAUAACCGUCAUACUCAGCAUAUAAAAGGAGGAUGUCUCACUCACUCCAUCACACACUCAAGAAGAAGAUCAAGUUCUCUCAAAUUUAGUUUAUUGUUCUAGUGCUAGUGGAGUAGGAAUAGAGUUGUUUCCUUCGUCCUUGAGUCUUCAGGUGAUUUCGGGUAUAACUCUAGUAGCUCUUCCUUUCUUUAUAAGACUUACAGCAUUAAUGAAAUAUUCUUCUUUAUAUAGUUUCGGUCUUUUACAUAAUUCCUAUUUCAAGUACCGACUUUAGUUUGUACUUGUCUCGAUAUAAUUGUGUAGUUAUCUUACUAGAGAUAUGUAUUGGUGUGGGUUUAAUGUUCGUGCAAAUGAUUGCUCUAUAUUGAGCGCGAGGGUGUAGAGUAGUAUUUAAUAAAGUAAGUGCGGUGCUUAGAUUAUUAGAUAUCAUUAUUUAGGGUUAUAUGCCACGGGUUAGUAGAGGUGGGCUGCUAAUGGUGACAGUUUAGUACGGGUAUCCCUCCACAUUCAUAUAUAAUCCUAAGACAUUUUCCUAGUAUGGGUACUCUUUCGUAUUCAUUUCCGGUAGGAUGGCCAUGACGAAUUGUUGUUAGGAACUCGGCAAUUAUGGGUGGUCUCUCAAAACACUACGAGAGCAUACUUAGAGAGUAUUGGCUACAUGAUUGGAUACUAGCAAGUGUAAACUACGGACAACUAUAUACUAGAAGUAUAUGAAUGAUUCUUUACUUAUUCUUUCACCACUUAGCCUAGAUUAUAUUUUAGCAGGGUGGUCCUUAUAUCUUUCUUCUGUGUGUCAACCUUAUCCUACCAAUGAAUUAAUUAACCCAUAUAUAGACUUUGAUGAAUACAAGUAAUAUGUGAAUUAUUAACAUAGUACUCUUUUAUCAUAUCUUAGAUUAAAUAAAAAUAUGAUACCUUACAUUACUCCCAGGUGAAAUGCUACAAUCGUAUAUCCUUGCGCUUACGGAUCAUAUCUGUGACCAUAAAUAUACCAAGAAUAUUUCGGCGCUAUUACUGAGAAUUAUAUGUCUAGUAAUGUCAUUAAGAAAUAUAGACACUAAGCUCACCAGUAAAAAACGAUUCUUGCAUGUAGCCAAAACAAAUUUUUUGCAUGCGGCUAGGCGGCCUCCAUGCACCCAGGUAUCUGCAAAAAUCAAAAGUCAAAAGUUUCCACGUGGGCAGAAGCAACAGCAUGUGAAAAUGGGAUUUUCGUGUGCGGUCACCUAAGUGAAAAUAAUUUCAGCGAAAAAAUCAAAAUUCCGGUAAAAAAAAUUGACAUCCUAGCUCCCCGAUUCAUCCUAUACCCUACUUCCGAAACCAUCAUCAUCGUCAUAGCCUCCACCGUCGCCGUCAUCGUCAUCGCAGCCGCCGCCGCUCACUCCUGCCACCUAAGGCUGCUGUCGUCUUCGUCGCUGCCGCCGCCGCCGCCAUCGCUGUCCCGAGGUCGCCGGAUCCAAGCACCGUCAUCACUCCCGAGGGCGGGGCCGGCAGAUCUGCUCCAAGACUACCGGAUCCACGUGUCGGCGCCGCUCCCAAGGGUUGCGGCGGUGAAUCUGCCUCGAGCCCACCGGCGCCGCCGUCUCCAUGCGCCCACGAGCUUUACAGUUGCUUUCAAAUUUAGUCUUUAUAGCAGCAGUAUUAACAUAAGGUGAAAUUUCAUAUGGAUAUACAACUUUUUGCCAAAUAUCAUAAUCCACAACCAUCAUAUAAGAUUUCAUCUUGUCACACCAAUAAGGAAAAUCAACUCCAUCAAAAACAUGCGGCUUGGUCAAAAUCUUAUUAACCAUAGCAAAAACUCAAGAUCUAAAGAUUAAAAAAAGCAAACAUGGCUCUGAUACCACUUAUAGGAUCGAAUAUAAGAACCAAGCCUACCAUAGGGGGAGGGUGAAUGGUAGGAACACAAAAAAACCAAAACUUUUAGAAGAAAUAAAUUUUACCCUCAAACCCGAUGAAGUCCUCGGCAUAGCCGUUCUGAUCGCCGUGUGAACACCGAUCUGACUGCACCUUUUCCGCUGCCACCUCCUUGUCUGCUAUCUUCUCACUGCCGCCAAUAUGAUCGGUUGUUUGCCGCUGGUUAGACCACCAUUAUCAUACCGGUUAGACCUCUUGCCAGAAGCUACUUUGACCGUGGGAUCCUGAAAAACAUGAAAAUAGAUUAACUUUAUUGCGUUAAUGUGUUUACAAAGUGCAUCUAAAGUACUCUCUCAACUCACAAACUAGAAUCGAAGCAAACUAUAAAUUUCCUCUCACAAAAAGUCAAUAUCUUCCAGCCUUAACCCCUCUUCUAUAGUCAAUAUCUUCCAGCCUCAACCCCUCUUCUAUUUACACCUACAACAUGGUUGUCCCUACCAACAACAUGCCCAUACAACUCCACACUCCAAUCUUUUCAAACAUGGACUACAAUCCAAAUUUGACUCAUCUUUCUAUACACACACAACACCACGUGUAUGCCAUAUGAAAACCUUUAUCUUCAUGUGCAUUGUUCUCUAGCCUGAACAUUCCAUGUGAUAUCUUGACCAUUUGGACCUCAACUAGCUUCUCCCAAGCCUAGUCUAGAUCCAUCACUGGCUAUACUACCAUGGUCUCAAGCAACACCUGCACAAGAACAACAAAGAAACUCUUUAUCCGAGUACAAGUUCGUACCAACUUAACUCACAUCAACACACAAUAGUAUCACAUAUAAAUAGAAACUUUCUAGAAGUCAUAAACAUGAAGCAAUCUAGAAUUUCAUGAAAACAACCCGAAACCGACUCCAUCUACCCAGUCAGACCUCCCAAUCACCACCGGUAAAACCGGCGGCACCCAUCCGGUCUGACCAGUCUCCCAUAGCUGACCGCACUGUUCAUCCUCCAAAAACGUGGCACGCCGCAUUUUCACAAAUACUUACCUUUGACAAUUUUUCGUCACCAAGAUUAAUCAUCACAUUAUUUUACACAUCUUACAUUACACUUGGUUAGAGUUGGUGUGAUCUGUUUGUUAGUGGUGAUAUAAAAAUAAAAAUAUUGCCUUUGGCCUUAGCCAUAGUUGCCAAGAAAUGCUUUCUUCCUCAUAUUGUUGAACAGAGUUACAUCAGUUAUGAUUAGGUCAUUCUCAGUUGCUAAUGUGGUGUAUUUAUAUGUCAUGGAAGGUAAAAUCAUCACGGGGAAAGCAAAAGGAUGCAAAUCAUACAUUUCAAGAAUUAGAUAUUACUGGAGUGGCAUUAGUUGUCAUCUUUAACCAAGAUUUGCUUUUCGGAUUUCAAGAACUUCAAAGAAACACACUUUUCUGUUUACUGAUGUCUGAUUUUGAUACUCUAUUUGUAUAAAAUUACUAUUAUUGUUCCUUCACAUGGAAAUGCUUGGUGAUGUUCUUCAUUUCGUUCUUCAUAUCCCUGUAAAGCAGAGGAUCUAGAUAGAUGUCUGUAUGGCGGCAGAGGCCCUGAUGUCACCUGCUGCAUCUUUGACACUGUGUUCAAUAAUUCAUUAAGGAAUCAUUAACUUCAAUGCUAUGCUUUGGAAUAUUUUUCUCAUGACCAAAUAAAAGAGAAAAAAAUAGAGGGUUUCUUCUUCAAUGGGGUCAGAUGCAAAAAAAAAAAAAGUAGGUUUUCACUUGGUAGGAGCUAGAUUAACUGUAAAUAAUUUUAAAUCGUUCAUCCUUCAGAUCGUAGGGAGUUUUUAAUUACCUUGUGAUGUGUUUUGACUCUGACCGACAGUUCUAACCCCUGUUCAGGAUUUCUGCCAUGAAACAGUAGGUUUUUAAUUGCUUUCUCUGCUCUCAAGGGUUUGCCUUAACUUAUGAUUGUGUGAUAAUUUCUGUAAACUGUUAAGUUGGGAAAAUUAUAUGUUCCCACUAUAAAUUAGGUGCUAUUUUUUUUCUUAUGACACUUCUCAUUACAUUGUCAUUUUAUUUGUUUGAUUUUUUAUUGUCCAUUGUAUGAAAUCUGUCUUGUGCCGUUUAGUAGCUUAUUUCACACAGUAAUAUUUAUUUCAUAUAAACAGCUAGGCAGCUGCUAAACUUCGCAUAUUUAUAUACUGUGCAGAAAGGUAUUGUUUGACCAACAUUUAGCCAGUUUGAUUUCUGGUGUGUCCUACUCUUUGUCAUUUCAUAUACUUUCAAUUGUUCAACCCUAAAAUGAUUCCACUAAAUUUUCCCUACAUUUUGUCAACCGGCUGCAAGAAUUAAGGCCGAUACAUUUAUUUCUUCUUCAUUAUGAUUGAACAGGCUAUAUUUUUUCCUUCUUUGUGGUAAGAUUACACUGUAGAUAAAAAAAAGUAUCGUUCCUAUUUAUAGAAGAAAUCGACUCAUUUUUUGUCAGAAGAUGUAUUAGCUUGACAAUACAAUUCGGUUCUUUUGAUAUUUAUUUUUCACUGAUAAGAUUUCAAGUUCCUGAUAUUAUAUACAUGAGUAAACAAUUAUUAUUGUUCAUAUACAUGCGUUACCUUGCAUUUACCAAGCCCAUUCAAACAUUGUCGUGCGCAGACGCACACUCCCUCUGUCCCAAAAAUACUCAAUUCGUAGGUUUCCGUGUCCAAUGUUUGACCGUCCGUCUUAUAUGAAUAUUUUUUAUAAUUAGUAUUUUCAUUAUUGUUAGAUGAUAAAAUAUGAACAAUACUUUAUGCAUGACUUAUCCUUUAAAUUUUUUUUUAUAAUUUUCUAAAAUAAGACGGACGGUCACGAUAGAUACGGUUUUUAGACAGAGGGAGUACUUUUCUAGUUGCUGUGAUAUUUUCUCCUCCGGUCGCCGAUCUGAGGUCACCUGCGACUGCGACCUGCUCUGGCUGGUGUGGUGUCACCACCAGUUGACCCUCGGUGCCUAGUUGCUUAAUUACAGCAAUAAAUCUUCAUUUUUUUUUCUCACCUGCGCUGGACCGUUCAUUUUGUUUAUUAGAUCGCGAUGUUCUUUUUUUUUUCAAUGAUUGAUAUCUGAUUUUUGGCAAUUUUUAAGGAAGAGCGAUCUUUGUCACCAAGCAUAAGAACAUUGUGCAGACGUAGGCCAUCAGCUUCCAAGGCCGGAUGGCCAAUCCUCGGCCGCCGUCACCAUUGCAGCUUGAGGAUGACUCGGCACCGAGGCUGCUCGGUUAGGGCAGGAGAUUGAAAUGUGUUUGGUUUCCUUUUUUUCCAUGGAUACAAGGUUUGGUUAGGCUUAGGGUGUAAAUUAAUUAACUGAGCUGCAAGUUGGGUUGAGCGUAGAAGAGUCAGUUGUGAAAUGCUGUUCCCCACUCUACUCAUAUUUUUUUAAAAAUAAUAAUAAUAACCUCCAAAUUAUAAACAAUCUAGAUUUACGGUGUGUUCGGUACCUCCUUUUUCUAACUUCCCUCGGUUUCCACGCGCACGUUUUUGAAAUUGCUAAAGGGUGCGUUAUUUAAAAAAGUUUUUAUACGAAAGUUGAUUAAAAAAUCAAAUUAAUCCUUUUUUAAAAAAAUAGCUAAUACUUAAUUAAUCACAUGCUAAUAAAUCGUUCCGUUUUUUUUACUGUUUCCGGUUGGGAAUAUGUAAUAGCGAACACACCCAUACCGAUCAUUAAUAUGAGCGGCAGCUGUUGGGUAGGUCAAGCUGUCGUUUCAUAUUUAAAAAAAUAAAGAAAAGAAUCCAGGUCAAAUAAUACGACGUACUCCUACAAUACAAAAUUGACUACUUCUACCAAAGAAUACAAAAUUGACUAGAAUUCGGAAUUAAAAAAACGGCAAAUCGAUUUCUAUACGGUUUUCAAAUACGUAAGCAAUCUAGAUUAAUAUGUCAUCAAUAAUUAGGUGAGUUCGGAAACCUGUGUUGGGAACACAAGAUGUACGUACGAAAAACGGAGCGAUCUAUUAGUACGUGAUUAAUUAAUUAUUUGCUAUUUUUUAAAAAAUAGAUCAAUAUGAUUUUUUAAGAAAUUUUCGUAUGGAAACUUUUUUGCAAAAAGCACGUCGUUUAACAGUUUGAAAAAGCGUGCACGUGGAAAAAGAGAGGGGAGAGUUGGGAAACCUUACAAAAGAACGCACCUAUUAAUUUAUGCCGCAACAGUACAGCUAUAGGUGGAGCGAUCGUUUCCGAGCGGCAUGCAACAAAUAAUUAAACCAUCAACAUUACACACAUUGGGUUUCCAAAAAGAUUAUGACCAUCCAAAAUGUUUUAUUAAAAAUAAAUAAUAUUAAAAGAGAGGUUACAUCUAUAACUGGUAUAAAUAUUUGGAUUUUUCCAGUCGUCACCUCUCAAUGAUCGUUGUUUUCAUUCGCUCAUGUGUUUUCUACGUUCGCGCUAAGUUCGAUCCGAUUCAUCCGCCUGCAUCCGAUUCUGUUUUGGUUCGGUCCAUAUAGAAGUACAAUACAAGCCCAAACUGAUUUCAGUAUUCUAGGUCCAUCUACGAGCCCAUACUCACACCAAUUCCAAUCUAUACCUAAUUUUCGUCAUUAUGCCCGAUUUUCCACUCGUCCGUGCGAACCGUUCCUCCCAAUCCCAAUCGUUUGAGUCCGAGUCUUUCUUCAAAAAAAAAUCCCCGAGCUAGAUUUCCAAAUCAAUCAAUCAACCGAACAACCAAAAUCAACAUGGAUCGUCCGUGCGAUCCAUUCCUCCCAAUCGUUUGAGUCCGAGUCUGUCUUAAAAAAAAUCCCUGAGCUAGAUCCCCAAAUUAAUCAAUAAACCGAACAACCAAAAUCAACACGGAAAUACCAAAUUUAAUCUCGACCUCGUGAAUUUGAUCCCAACAAGAAACCUAAUACCCAUGUAUUACCUCCCUCCCAAUCCGAUCCAUCUGAGCAAGGAGGCCAUGGUACAAAGGCAGCAGGAGGCACGUCGGGUUGUAGGCGACGUGCGGCGGCGGAAGUGCUUGGCGCGGUCGUCGGGCUUGUGGACUAGCUCGACGCAGGACGGCGGCAGGGACGGCAUCAGUCCUUGUGGAGGGGAGACGGCUUCCUUCUUGGGCGUCGGUUGAAGGCCAGCGGUCUUGAGGGCAGCGUCGGCGGUGCACUCAUCGUAGGUCCCAAGGGGAGGCAGCGCUUCGAGAGAUCUCGUGGGCGGCGUCGCUUUCUAGACGGGCGGCAGCAUCAAGGCGACCAGCGUAUUCGGUGGUGGUGAGGAGGACGGUGAGGCGGCGCAGCUCCGGAGCCCUUCCUCCCGCCGGAUCUAGCGGAGGGAGGGCGGCUCCAGGCGGCCGCCGCUCCUCCCGCCGCACACCACCGACACCGCCGCACGCCGCUGCCGCGGAGGGGAGGGCGCGGCCAUCUCCGCCUCCCGCCGCUGCCGCCGGCCACACCGUCUCCACCCGCCGCCGCCACCCAUCACCCACCGCCUCUCCUCUUGCGUCGCCGCCUGCCGCCUCCGAGAGAGGAGAGCGAUAGAGAAGACCGAGACUCCGAGAGAGAGAGGAGAGGAAAACGAGAGAAACCCACCCACCCCCACCCCUGCGACGACCAGCUCCGGAUCUGGUGACAGGAGCGAGGGGGAAGAGCCCGGAUCUGAAAGAACCAACCUAACCUUCGCCUUGCUGGCCUGCGAUUGUGGAUCUGACCGACGAUGAGAGCUAGGUCUGGAGUUGGACUCUGGAGAGAGGAAAGAAACGAGAGACGGAGAGAGUGAGAGAGAGAGCGAGAAAAAUCAAUAUGCCUCUGCAGCAGCUCUCGGCCUUUCACGCUGGUCUCUGACACGGUGACACCACUCACUGUUUCUUUUCCUAUUUUUAAUUUAUUGACGAUAAAAAUCACCGAUUCCUUAUUUUUAAUAUUUCCUGAGAUAACAUUUUUUUGAGAUAGGGGUGUUUAGAAGUAGGGUGUAAACUUUUGUCGUAUCCCAUCGGAUAUAUUGGGACACAUUUGAAGUAUCAAAUGUAGACUAAUAACAAAACAAAUUAUAGAUUCUGUCUGUAAACUGUGAGACGAAUUUAUUAAGCUUAAUUAAUUCGUCAUUAGUAAAUGUUUACUGUAGCACCAUAUUGUUAAAUCAUGGACUAAUAAGCCUUAAAAAAUUUGUUUUGCAAUUUACACACAAUCUGUGUAAUUAGUUUUUUUUGUCUGUAUUUAAUACUCCAUACAAGUGUUCAAAUGUUCGAUAUGACAGGGUAAAAAAUUUUAGGGUGGAAUCUACACACAACCAUAGUCUCGUUGCAACACAUAACUACUGCUACCUCCAUUAUAAAUUAAGUUUACUGUUGUAUAUAAAUUUAUGCAUCGCCCAAACUAAAUAUAUGGACGCUUACUCCGUUAUGGCCCUCCCCUUGCCCCUUCUUCAACUCAUGAUUAAUUAUGUUUAAUUAUUAUAAACUUUCAAAUAUAUUGUUUAUUAUUUUAAAGCAACUUCUAUAUUGAAAGUUUUACACAAAGCACAUCUUAAUAAAGAAAGUAACAAAGCCAUAAUAUCCCACAUCCUUAAGACAAAGCAAUUUUCCCUAUCUCACAAAAUUGGGCACACUGUUGCAUACUACUCGGACUCAAACAAUUGGGAGGAACGGAUCGCACGGAGGAGUGAAAAAUUACACUUCAAAUCUCAAUAAAAAUCCAAUCAGCAUUUUCUUUUUUAAAAAUGGUGGGGCCCACCUCUAAGACCUCGUUUUCCAAUCUCUCCCCCCCCCCACCUCUCUCAUCAUCACGCACGGGCACAAGUGGAGCGGCGGCACACGGCGGUGCGCGUGCGGGGACGGGGGCGGGGGUAGGCGGUCAGCCGCAAUCCCUCGCGGCGGCGCGCACGACGGCGCAUGCAGCACGCGGAGGCGGGCCUGCGGGGGUGGGGGGCGGGUGGUUCAAGACGAGCGGCAGAGUGAGCGGCGGCGGGCGUGACUCCGGUCGACGGUGAGUCCACCACGCGCCGACGACGAGGAGGAGGAGCCCGCGGUGGCGGCGGUGGCCCACUCAUACAGACGAAACAAACAAUUUUGUAAGCAGAUUAAUUAUCUAAACCAAACAACAUUUUUUUUGUCACUAUACACACUCCGUAAUCACCCGGUGCAACGCACAGGGCACUUUUGUUAGUAAAAAACAAAUAAGACUAAUUUAAUUUCAGAAUAAAAAGAAGUAAGUUAGCUAAGCUCUAAUAUGAGUGCAAAGAAUGUAAGUGGAGUAAGAUCAUGAGAGAAUAUGUCAUCAUACAACAAUAUAACAUUUCUUCAGUAAAAAAAAACAAUAUAACAUUUCCAUGUCAGGCAAUAGACAUGGAACAACGAACCAACAAUAAAGUAAAAGUGGUGUAGAAAUAAGAAGUUUUCACAUAGGCAAGUGGCCCGCCACCUCUAUUGAUAGCAUCUGCUUGAGUAAUAGUACAAUCAAAGCAUGUUAUAGAGAAAAAAAUAUAUUUAAUAGUUGAAAAGUUAGCUAAUAGAAACUGAAGAAUUUAUGUCCCUUUGAAAGUUGAAGAAACCAAGAAACAGUGUGGAGUGUAAAGAUAGUGUCAUUAUGAUAUUAUACAAUAACUAGCAAAAUGCCCGUGCUUCGCUACGAUGUAUUAAAACUAAAAAUAUUUGUUUUUAACCGAAGUUAUUUUCACACUGCUUUGGUACUUUUGCUCGCUAGAAAAAGUCUCAAAUGAUAGAGAGAAAUAUAGUAACUCAUAAUAAAUUAGUAUUCAAUAGUGCAUUGCAAUGGGAAAAAUAAUGGUAUUAACUUAGUAAAGUAAUAAAAAAGAGCAUCCACGUUAGCUCUUAUGGUCUAGAAAUUCUCAUAUUAAUUGGAGUAAAAUAUAAAAAAAUAAGGAGAACUCAUUGUAGACAAGGACUCUUUCAUUUUGUUUUUUUUAAAAAAAACCACGUUGUCCAAUUGGAUAUAAGCAUAAAACAAAUCUUUUGCAAAACAAAAAACCUAAACUGGAUAGUGUCAACGAGUGAUACUCGUGGACCAGAUGAGUUAAGUAUUGGGGUACGUUGGAACAAGGGUUUACGUAGUACGACAUCAAGCAGACAAAAGACAAUGAUUAUACUGGUUCAGGCCCCCUUAUCAGGUAAUAGCCGUAGUCCAGUUUAUAUGGGAUUGAUGAUGAUGAGAACAUAUUACAAAGAGAGUAGUCGAAACAGAGGGUACCGACGAGAUCGUAUUUGAGGGAUUCGACGAGAUCUCCCGGCGAGUUGGCUCUCCGUACUCCGGCUUCGUAAACUUUGGUGGGUGUGUUGGCGAAUAGGUUCGACGAUCUUCACCACCCCCCAGUUGUCUCCUUUUAUACCGUAGAUUAUCUUGACCCCCAAGUAAGGCUUGGAGAUAUGUAAUCUGGCAUGAUAUACUAGAGGUUCUAUCCCCUCCGAGUAGGACUCUGGUAAUUUCUUAACUCGUAGAGAUAUUUUCCAUAAUUCGAGACAGAUUCCUAACGGUGUAUACAGAAACGAUCCAUGCGCAUGAAGGAUAGAGGGUAUGCCUUAUCCGUAACCUUGACAGUAGCUCCCGACUUCAACUUAAAUGAAUUAAUGUUGUCGUUCACAACUUCUCCUGAUAGCGUCUUGGCGUGCUCGCUAGGUCGAUCUCGGUUACUAACCGUAGAGACAUGGAGCUAUCGACAACGCAGAAGAGAACCCAACGGUGUGAAUUUUGAAUUUAAAUUGAAGUCUGAAAAACUGCCUCCAACGGGCCUUAGAAAUUUCCGGCGGCAAUCUCUCCCCUUUCCUCGAAAUGCGGAUCGUCGGGUGGUGCGCCUAUUUAAUGAAAUUUUGGGAUCCAUUUCAAGUCUGUUCGCCAAAAAACCCUCACUGUUCCUCGGCUUCAUCGGACUUUUCGUUUCCCUAAAAUCCCCAAUCUUCAACACCCUACACCGGCGGUCCUCUCCCGGCGAUCUCCUUCCGAUGGCGGACCUCGACCAAUCUUCCUCCGACGUGGCCGCGCUGAAGAAGCUGUACAAUGAGGGAGCCAUCCCUCCGAAGCAGACCAUGGCCAAGGAAGCAGGAGGUACUUAUCCUUCCCCCGUCCUAGGUCGUAUGGUAGCAGUAGAGGAUUUCAUCCGCUGUGGUUUCUUACCUCCUCCUUCCGAAUUCCUUUUAUUGAUCUUGAACUUCUAUGGCCUUUCUCUCUUACAUCUGAACCCCAAUUCUAUUGCUUUCUUGAGCAUUUUUGCUUACCUUUGUGAGGCCAACAUUGGGGUAGUGCCCUUCCUUGACCUUUUUCGUUUCUUCUACGAACUCCGGUGGAUGGAAGCCAAUCGGGUUUCAGGAUGUUGCGGAUUUCGCCUUCGUGAUGGCAUGAAGGCGAAAUACAUCCCUCUCCAAUGCCACACAUCCCAGAGCCAAUGGAGGUCGAGAUGGUUCUAUCUCAAAAUUAAAGAACACGACCCGGUUCUUGUCAUACCUGAGGUCCAACCGGACCAAUCCGAGAGCUGGACCUCUAAGCCUCCGUUGACACUGUCGACGGGGGAUACCCACAGACCGGAUACAGAGGGUAUUGGGGUACGCUGGUACGAGGAUCUACGUAAUGCGACAUCAAGCAAAGAGAAGACAAGAAUUAUACUGGUUUAGGCCCCUUGGUAGGUAAUAGCCCUAGUCCAGUUGAUAUGGGAUUAUAUUGUAGAAACCACAGAUUACAAAGGGAAUAAUAGAACUCAGCAAUACCGACAAGAUCGUAGUCGAGUUGGCCCGACUAGAUCACCCGGCGACUUGGCUCCUGUAGGCUCCGGCUUCGUAGGCUGUGGUGGAUGUGUUGGCGGUGAGAUUCGAUGCCUUAGGUCCUCUCGUGGGGUCCCUUUUAUACCGUGGGUCAGUCGAUCUCCAAGUAGAACUCGGAGAUAUCGGACCCCACACGAUAUGGUAACGACCCAGUUCCGUCCGAGUAGGACUCCUUCCAUCUGUGGACUCUGUUUAUGUUACGUGAUAGAUUUCCUUAACAUGUACAAGAAACACCCGUAUACGCGCGGGUAUACCAUAUCAGUAUACAUCGUAUAUUCAAGGAUGGAGGGUAUGCCUUAUCCGUAACCCUUACAGUAGCCCCCGACUUCUGCUUAAAUGAACUCAUGCAACCGAUAGCGACUUAUGAUGUCGAAAUCGUUGUCGUUCUCAACUGGUCGAUCUCGGUGUGGGAACCAUAGAGACGAAAAGUUAUCGACAACACCGUAUGAAGUUCAACGGUCAUGAGUGAAUUUAAAUUGAAGUCUGAAAACUGUCGCGCGUAACGGACCCAGAAUUUUCCGGCGGCAAUCUCUCUCCUUUCCUUGGAAUUCGCACCACCGGUAGUGCGCUUAUUUAAAGGAGUUUUGGGCAUCCAUUUUGAAGUCCGUUCGCCAAAGAACUCUCCAGCUUUCACACGCCCCUCGUCUUCUCCGCUUCCGCAGAAAAAACCCUAGCUUGCUCAUCCCGAUUUGUUCUCCGGCGAUCUCCGGCGGUGAUGGAUCUUGACAAGUCCACUUCCACCACCGCGUCCCUGAAGAAGAUGUAGGACGACGGCGCCCACCCUAGUCGCGGGACCAUGGAGAGGGAGGCAGGAGGUAUUGAGCCCGAACCCCUCUUGGGCCGCAUGGUUGCGGUUGAGGAUUAUAUUUCUUGCGGUUUUCUUCCUCCGCCCUCCGAAUUUCUUCUUCUCGUCUUGAAUUUUUAUGGCCUUUCCUUGCUCCAUCUGAACCCCAAAUCCAUUGCCUUCCUUAGUAUCUUCUCUUAUCUUUGUGAGGCCUACAUUGGGGUAGAGUCAUUUCUUGAUCCCUUUCGCUUUUACUACGAGUUGCGCUGGAUGGAACCGAAAAAGGUAUCCGGAUGUGUCGGGUUUCGACUUCGGGAUGGCCUAAAGUCGCGAUACAUCCCCUUCCAGUGCCCCUCUUCUCGUAGCAAAUGGCGGGCGAGGUGGUUCUAUCUUCAGAUAGAAAACUCGGAUCCAGUCUUUGUUGUCCUUGAGGAGCAACCAGACAAGAUUCCAGAGUGGACCGCCAAACCCGCCCUAACUCCCUUCCUUCAGUCUUUCAUCGACGUUAUCGAUGACCUCCGAGUACGAGGGUUGUCGGGGUAUAAAGUUGCUGCCGACUUCAUCAGUAGGCGGAUCCAACUGCUCCAGGCCCAAACCCACCCGGCCUUUGAUUAUCCUGGGCCGAAGGACACGACCCGGGUUUCUCCUCAGGGUAUUUUUCUUGUAUUACAGAUUUCAUUCCUUAUGUGCAUGUUCCUCCUGACUUAUUGAGUUCCGGUUCUCGAUCUACAGGUUUGAAAAGAGACACUGUAGAGCACCGCGUCGGUCAAGUGAUGAUCAGCAGCCCCACGACGGCGAGCAACAUCCCCGCCCCUCUUUGCGAGAAGGGGACGGCCGAGCACGAGGCUGCGAUCAACGUGAGUGUACUCGAUGACUCCUUUACUUCUGUUUUCCUGGGAUCGCAUUGUGACUUCAUGUACGCAAGCUCUCCCUUUCACGGAUGUCAUCAGGCCGCUCGCGGAUCACCAGGUGGCGGCGUCGUUAAAGGAGGGUGUUGCCAAGGAGGCGUCCGACAUUGCUGCUUCUGCCACGACGAGUGGCAGCAACGUUCCGAAGAAGGGGAGGAAGUUCUCCUCCAUACUCGGGAACCGUCAGAAGGCGCCUACUCCGUUGGUAAGCCUCUCUUGUCUUUUAAUCGUGUAGUCAAAAUAUUUUGACCUCAUAUCAUGCUAUCUUGCUUAGGCCUCGGAUGCGUCUCCCCCGCCCCAACGAAGGCAAAGGCUGGUGACGCUCGGCGAAAAGUAAGUAGAUGCAUUACAAGUCAUCUUAUUCACAAAGUCUUGAUUGCCUGACUUCAUGAAAUCGCGGGAAUUUUUUGCAGGGCGGCGCGGGCGAAGGCUGCGCAAGACGGGUCCGGUGCGGCCUCCAGUGGAUCCCCUGCAGCGGCCUCGACAGAUGUCGUGGUCGUGGCCAGGGAAUGGGAGGUGACGCCAAGCGGCCCCGCCGGUGGCCUUGUGCCUGCUCAGGGCCUGCCUGCUGAUAUCCUCUCCUGGGGGGAGCUCCAAUCCGAGAUGGAGCGUAUCCUCCAGGCAGGUGCUCGAGGCGUAGGCUGCGAAAUCGAGGAGGCCAGGGCAGCGGCGUCGUCAGCGAACGAGCGUGCCAACAUGCUAGCGCGUGACCUGGCGGAGGCCCGAGAGGACCUCGUGAAGAUGAGGGAGCUGGUGGCCGGCAACGAAAGGCAGCGACAAGGACACGAGCACCGGAUGUCGGAGCUCGAGAACAUUUUGUCAAAGAUCCGCGGCUCGCUGCGGGUGUCUUACACUGGCCUACACCAGCUCGUCGGGGAGUGCUGCGUCACGACCACCAUUCCGGCGAACCCUGACGAGUUCUCGCUGACUGACGUCCUCGCUCGCGGAACUGGCCACGGCGAUGGUGGAGAUCCCCUCCAAGCAUGCGGCCAGGAUCGGGGAGGAGACAUCUAACGGGAUUUACACCGCGGCGUGCCACGUCCUUGCGUGCGUAAGGUUGGCGCACCCUGAUCUCGACCAUAAGAAGGUUUUGGAUCAGGAGGCCGCCGACGACGCACGUCGGGGCGUGAUCGAGGAGGUCGGUGUCCUAGGGGAGUCCGUGCUCCCCCUUUUUGAAGAGUAGGGUUUUGUUUCCCUUGUACCCCUUAUCCAAUUAUGCUGUAAAACUUUCGUAGGUUCAAACUGCCCUUGUGUAUGCAGUUGUUCCCCUUGUUUUCUUAGCAUGUUGAUUCCGAGUACUUUAUUGUCGCUGUAGAGAUGUCGAUGUUGAGGAUGUCCAGUAGCGUGGGCAACCUAAGACGCCGGUUGUCGUUCCGGCACUUGCGCUUGAGCCGUACGUGCCGCAGGACGAUGUCGAUCAAAGCUUGUCCGUGGGAGCGGACAUGGCGAUGACUUCCCUAGGUUCGUGCCUUGGUUUUCACUUCCUUUACUCUUUUGUUCGGGUUGACUUAAUAUGUCGUGUUCUCGAGAGAGAAGAAUGACUUGACUUAGUCAUUUCCGUGUUUGGGCAGACCUCGAGAGUGAGUUGGCUGACAGAGAUCGUCGAAUCCAAUACUGGCGGACGAAGUUCGAGGUGGCCGAACUCGAGAGGACCAUGGUGGAAGUGAAAAAAGACCAAGCCGUGGAAGCGCUCCGAGGUCGCGAGGUGUGGUUCAACUCGUACCUCAGGAGCUGCUAUAUGGCAAUGGCUGGAGUCUGCCGGGAACUCCAGGUACCUCGCAGGAAUCCCGAGGAGUCGGCGGCCAGAUAUAUCUCGUGGUUGAAUGGGGCCUGCGCCCAGCUCGAAGGCAUCGGCAAGCGUAGCGACGAGGCCCUGAAGCAGGAGUGUCGUCGGUCGAGCCGGUUUGUCGGAGGGCACGUGCUGGCCUGUAUCCGAGAUCACCGCCCACAGCUGCAUCUCGAGUUCCUCCACGAAGGGUUUUCAUGUUCUCGGAGGGCUGCCGCAGAGAUAGACGGUCUGGCGAAGUCGAUGGCGCCACUCGCCGAGAAGGUCUUUCAGUCCAUGGAUUGGUGUUGGCCGUCCUGGUAGUUUUUGUAUCCUGUAGAAAAUACCUCAAGGAAACAUGUAAUAUAUUUUGGAGCAUCUAUGAAUUGUAAGAAGUACUUGUGAAAUAGAAAAGGAAUCUAUCUAACUAAGUUUUCUUACUCUGGAUGUGCUGUGUAUGAGUGUUUUCUCAUUUCGCAACUUCAAUCAAUCACUUGAGUCAUACACUCUCCCUAGCCCCCAGCCUUGUCGUCGGAGAAUUGUUCUCGGAGGAUAAGGCUCUUGGACCCUUGACCUGCCUCGGUUGAAAAAAGCACUGACCCUAGCCCCCAGCCGUGAAGUUGGAAAACUCAAUUUCCGAUUACACGGCCUGGUUAAUAUGCACAGCGAGAACUCUUACAUGACCAGAUCUUACAUGAUCGUUUGUCUCUACAUGAUCUGACAAGGCCUUAUCCGCUCUGGGCGUCCCUAGCCGAAGUUCCCUUAGGUUCCUCAGAGGCCUUGUCAAGACGGCGUAAAGGGACAUGAGGAUAGGUUUCAACGCUAGGUGUCGUCGUGGUAAGGGAUUGUCGGGAAGGAACAUUUUGCCCGAAAUUUUUACCUAAAAUCAACUUUAUGGAAAUCAUGAGAUGUCUUACAAAUAUGAAUGCUAUUGAUUUAUACAUAGAAUUUACGUAAUUGAUCAAUAUUCCAGGAAUUUGCUAACUCGCGGCCAUCGCCGUCUGCAAUCUUGAAUGCACCUGGUCGCAAGACUUGCGUGAUCGUGUAUGGUCCCUCCCACUUGGGUAAGAGAUUGUUGCGCCCUGCUUGACUUUGAACCCGUCGAAGGACGUAAUCGCCGAUCGAAAGUGUGCGUGCUCUGAUGCGCUUCUCGUGGUAUCGGCUGUAACGCCCCGAUUUUCGUUCGGAAUUAAAAAUCAUUUAAUAAUGCAUUUUCUGGAAAUUAAAUAAAAGUUAAAGCAAUUUAAUCAAGUGAAAUAAUGGGAGAAUUUGAAAUUUUCCUUUAAAAAUCAUUGGCCGAGAAUAUUUUGUAAUAUUCUCUGUGCCCUAAUAUACUCUCCGAAAAUUUCCCGUGAAUUUUCGGAGCUCAAUAAAUAAUUUUAAUAAUACAAAGUUCAUUAAACCAAUUAAAUAAAAAAAGAAAACGAAUUAAAGUCCUCCUUCUUUGCUUUGGGCCACUUCCGGCCCAAGUUCCCUUCCCCCCCAGGCCGGCCUUCCCUCCCUCGGCCCGCUCGGCUCUCUCUCUCGAAGUCUACUUGGCGUCCCCCAACCGUCUCCUCCUCUCUCCUUCCCCCCGAGCCGCCGACAGGUGGGUCCCACCUGUCAGGGCCAUCCCUAACCUCCGACUCCCUCAGCCGAAACCGCCGCCACGGCCUCCCCACGUCGCCGCCGAUUCCGCCUCCUCCUCCACCCGCGCGCUCGCCCCGACCGCGGGACCGCGUCGCCCCACCUCCUCCACUCUCCUCCCCCACUUUCCCCCUCCAAAACCGGCGCCGAACCACCCCACUUCGCCCACGUCGCCGGAGCCCACUCCGAAGACCGUUGCCGGUCGAUUCCGCCCUCCGCGGCCAUGAUCCCACCGCCCCGAGCCAAUAAAAACGAUCCCCGUGGUCUCCUCUCCCAUUUCCCCAACUUUCCCGAGCUCCCGGCGCCCUCGCCCGCUCUCCCCUCGCCAAGCCGAGCAGCCGCCGCUCGCCGGAGUUCACCGGCCACUUUUUCCCGCCGCCCCAGCCACCACCGCGCCGCGCCGUGUAUGCCGUCGGCUUCGCCUCGCCGUGCCGCGCCCCGGCCUCCACUCCUUUUCCCCCAAACCACCACCGAAAUACCACCCCACCGUGAAAACCGAGCCGCCGCUCUUCCCUCCGUCUCCAGCCGCUCGCCGCCGGCGAUACUGACCUCGCCCGGUCGUGCGGCUGCCUCCCACAGCGCCGCCGCUCCGCGCCGCAUCCCGGCCACCGGCCCACUCCUCCAAUCCACCCCCGAAGCACCAUUCCCGCCGCAAACCCGAGCUACCGCCAUUUCUACCACCUCCAGCCACCGAUUGCCGUCGACGGGGACCAUCCCGUGCCGCGCCGCUCAGACAUCCAGGUUUUGGGGUGGAGCAGCACCUCGGCCACCACUCCCUCGGCUCUAAAACCCAUCGGAACGCCAUCUGCCCCGCGCGAGGUCACGGCGCCCCUUGGCGUCGCCGGAGCGCCGCCACCCCCUCUCCGCCUGAGCUCCGCCGGCCGCCUUCCUUCGUCGUUUUGCCGUCGGGCGCUCGGUGAGCAUCUCCCCUUCAACCCCUCACCUUCCUCCGCUGCCUCCCGGCUGUGCCGCCGCGCUAGUGGUCGCCAUCGGUGACCAUCGGGCCACACGCCACCGCUCCCCGGCCGGCCGGUGGGCCGGUUCCCGCUCGCCCGCGACCGCCCGAUUCACCCCGGGUCGAUUUGGGCCGUCCACGUGACCCUCCCCGUGCCGCCCGGCGUUGCUGCCCCUGUGGCGCCACGUCGGCGCCACCUUGUCCUCCCCGUCCGCCGUGGCCACCACGUGGCUGCCACGUGGUGCGCCCGCGGGUAGCACGUGCGUGGACCGAGUCCACUGUGCGCCGACCUCCUUUGAGCCACCGACAGGUGGGGCCCGCUCGUCGGCGCCACCUAUUCCCCCCCGGUGACGUCAUAAACCAUUAAUAAUUGCGCAAUAAAUCAUUAAUAAUUAUAGAAAUUCAUUUAAUGGCUCAAAACCUUCUAAAAUCCAUAUCUAAUUCAUUCGAAUUCCGAAUUGAGCCGUUCAACUUGCAAAAUUCAUCUAAAAUUGAACUCUACAUGUUUGUUUAGUUUUUAUGUACUGUUCCCUUGGUUUUUAUUAGAGUUUUUCCUCGUUUUGCGUGCCGGCGUGUAGAAUCCGUCGUUUCGGAAGUCCGCGGUCGCGAGGAAAAGAGUUCGGAAGAUCAAAGUGAAGAAGCAAGGCAAGUCACACAUUCCCCUUGAGCAUAUUGAGCCUAUUUUAUAAAUGUUUUACCGUUUGCAAAUAAGUAUGCAUGUUUUGUUAAUUACAUGGGAUCCGGGUAUUACCUAUCUGCUCGCUUGUGCCAUGUUUACUUGAUAUCUGUCCUUUGUCAACCGGGGGUAAUAAAUCGACUAGCUCAUGUUACUUAUGUGACCUAGCUAGAACUAUAUGCUUAGCCAUGCUUAAUUACCACUAGCUUAGUUGAUGGGAUAAUUACAGUAUUAGACAUUUUUAGUAUCAGAAUGAGCUGCGUGCUCGAGACAUCUGGCCAUGCUUCAUGGUCGUAAUUAUUCAACUAAAAUGCGACUGAAUGGUGGGCUGUGGGUGCAUGGUUUUGCUAGUCGCACCCAUGGCAAUUAAGGACCGGUUCGCGGGAUGCCCUAGAAGAACUUAUCGUACUUACCACAAGCCAGCGUGGGCAACGGCUGGGCUUGUAGUAUAGCUUUUCUCUAGCUGACGCAUCCAGACAAGGGUGGGCGUGAUGGAGUUUGGAUGGGCCCUGCGACGGCCUAUACGGCUUCCGGAUUCACCUAGGCACGAGAGGGGACUGCCCGUCGCCCGCUGGGGACGGGGGUGAAACCUGAGGUGUGAUGUGCUUGGCUAGAGGGGGUUAUGCGAAGGGUCCUGUCACGGCCUCUUUCCGGUAUGUCGUGGUGGCAUGUCGGCGCACGGAAACGUGUCGUGGGGCUGUGUCUUGUGGGUACAGUUGUACACCUCUGAUCAGAGUAAAACUAUUCGAAUAGCCGUGCCCGCGGUUAUGGGCGGUCGACCAGAUUCACCGUGAUUAGUCUCACACUUAAUAAAUCGACCCAAUGCACUGUAGUUCAGGUGGGUUGGUUGGGCCUGUUCAACGUGGUGUAGCGUUGAUCAGUGGAGAUUUAAUGUUACUUUAAUUACUCAAUUGUUUUACUGUUUGCUCAAUAAAAUGUUUUACAGCCGCCUUUAUGCAAAUAGCCACAAACUGUCCUUGUGUUCCCCUUGCACGUCUGCAUCGUUGGUGUGGCUUGCUGAGUACGGUGGUUGUACUCAGCCUUGCUAUUAUUCCCCCUUUUCAGAAGUGCAGUGCUUCUGAGUUGAAGACGAUGUUAGAAGACCAAGGCUCAGACCCCAGUUGAGUUUUGCCUGUGGAGUGGAGCUGAAGCCCCGCUAGGAUCGCCUUUUUCCGCUGCUGCUGCUUUCGUUUCGGUGUGAGGACUAAGUGCCUCUUCUGUAAGUAUUUCUGUAAGUAUUUGACGCUUUAUUUACGUUUGGAACUGUAUAUUACUUGUCGUUUUGUGUACCUUGGCUGGUCCUGGACAGGGAUUUAAUACACAAAAUAGUCUGGAAAUUUGGGCUAAAUUUCUGGGCGUGACAUCGGCGAAGGACCUGCUGGUAGCUGGCUGCUCUGACGGCAACUCUUUCUCGAUGUUCUUCGAGUAGAUUCACGUCAUCACUUCGCUGCUCCUCCUGAUCCUCGUCGGAGUACUUCUAAACUCGUGUGCUCUGAUGUCGUAGCUCCGUGGGGAGCAUGGCUUCUGAGCCAUACACGAGGAAGAAGGGUGUCUCCUUGUUGGUUGUUGUCAGCGUGGUACGCACGGCCCAUAGGACAGAGGGGAGUUCUUCGACCCACUUCUUGUCGUGUGACAUGAGUCUGUCGUAGACACGGGUCUUGAUCCCUUGUAGUACUAUGCCGUUUGCCCUCUCGACCUGUCCAUUGCUCUGAGGGUGAGAAACCGAGGCAAAGCAAAUCUUGACUCCCAAUCCGAUGCAGUAAUCCUGGAAGUCGGCACUGAUGAACUAGGAGCCGUUGUCUAUUAUGAUGCGGUGAGGCAAUCCAUAUCUGCCGAAUAUCCCUUUGAUAAAUUUGAUGGCGUUGUCGGCCUUAAUUUCCCCCGUGGGCGUUGCUUCAAUCCACUUGGUGAACUUGUCGAUCGCCACGAAUAGGAACCUGUAGCCGCCCUGUCCUCGUGGGAAUGGUCCGAGUAUGUCGAGCCCCCAGCACGAGAACGGCCAGGUAAGAGGGAUAGUCUAGAGCGCCUGCGCUGGUAGACUUGUGUGUUUGCUGUGGAAUUCGCAGGCUUCACACCGCUGAACCAUGUCACAAGCGUCUUUGAGCGCGGUCGGCCAGAAAAACCUUGUCGAAAAGCUUUUCCGACUAAUGUGCGGCCGGCGGCGUGUGACCCGCAGAUCCCUUCAUGUAUGUCUAGGAAGAGAUAGUUGCCGUCGUCGAACGAAAUGCAUUUGAGAAGUACUUCGUUUGGCGCCUUUUUGUAUAGAUCGUUGCCGAUCAUACAGUAGAUCUUGGCUUGUCGAGUUAUUUUCUCGGCUUCUGCGUCGUCCUCGGGCAACUCGUCACUAUUCAGGAACUUGAUGGGUGGGGUCCGCCAGUCGUCUGUGGUCUCGAUGUCGGCAACGGCGCGUUCUGCCUCUGUAGCCCCCGAGCUUAUGUCAGGGGCGACUGUGAUAUCUUCGUCGUUUGCCUCUGCGAUGCCGGAGGAGGAGACGGCGACGUCGGCUGGCUCACCGGCGAGGAACAGUAGCCGCCCGGAGGAGGGGAGGUACUGGACGCCGACGAGGAGACCACUCCGGCGAGCUUCGAGCGAGGAGGAGGUGAGGCCGGAGACGAGGACGGCGUCGCGGAGCCAAGGGACGCGACGGCACGGCCGACCGAUGCUCAGGCGCGGCGGCACAGGCGGCUGGAGGCGGCCGGCGCGGGGGAAAGAGAAGGGGGACGGCGGGGAGGGGUGGUGAGGCCACGGGAGAGCGCGGGAGGGGGCAAAAACUGGAGAACGGAUCGAGGGGGUUCCAUUUUAUAGGAUGGGGGAGGGAGCCGGGCACGGGAGAGGUGGGAACGGCGGCGGAUAAGUCGCCCGGCGGCCAUGGAAAGCGGCCGGGAUUGGUGCGGGCGUUCCAGGUGAUUAAAAGCACGAAUCAAGGGGGAAUUAAGGGGGAAAGAGAGAGGUGGGAAAGGGGAUUAAUUCCCCCUAAUCAAUUUUGGAAUUAGUCAUUUGAAUCGAGCGGAUUUGAGGGAGGAAUUGGUGCAAGGGUUAACGGGAGAGAGAAGAGGAGGCUGGCGGCUGGAGGUUGAAGAUGCACUGUAGCAUGGGGGAGGCAAAGUAGACUUUGGAAAAUGACCGGCCCAAAAGGAAAGAAAAGGAGGAACGGGAAACAGCUUCGGCCGAGAGGGAGGGGCUGCUGCAGCUCGGGUUGCGACGUCGGGAGAGAGAGAGGAUGGAAGGGAAUGGGCCAAAAAGGGCCCAAUCUGAGGAGGAGGAUUUAUUUUAGGUUUUCUUUUUAGUAAACUUUGAUAAUUGUUGUUGUUGCUUAAUAAUUAUUUCCGUUGUUCUGAAAAUUCAAGUAAAAUUUGAGGGCUCCUUUUUUACCAAGAAGAAUUCAAUAAAAAUUCUUCGGGCCACAUUUGAAUUUUUCUUGUACGUAUUUUAGUGUUUGCCAAUUUCUUUUCGAAUUUUAAUUAAUUCUAUUAUUCCAUUUAGAGAAUGAUUUUUAUUUCGGGAUGAAUUUAUCAGGACGUGACAACCAGGGUCAGCACCAUCCGAUCCAGGGCUUCGCCUGGACAGUGUGGAUUAGUCUCCAAUGACGGUUGGAGGGUAUUUCCGACCAUUCCGUCCGUCACAACCAUCAUUGGGAGGCUAUAUGUAACACCCUGAAAAUUCGACCAACGAAAUCAAAACUCUAAAAAUGCGGACUUUCAAAAACUUUUUAAACCAAUUGCAUCAUGCCGACUUUAUUCGCCUGUUUCAUUGGAUUUUGAUGUCGGAGUCUAAUUAAUCGCGAAUAAUGAAUAACUAGCUAGGAACAAACCAUAAAAUAAAAUCUAGUUGACUAAAUAAAUAAUUAAAAUAUAAAUUAAAAUAAAGGUUAGGUGGGAUUGAAAUAAAUAAAAUAAUAUCGCAACCAUAUUAGCAAUAAUUAAAUUUUAGUACGAUGGAAUAACCCUAAUUAAAAUAAAUUAUAUAAAAAUAAAAUAUGAGUAAUAUUAAUCUAGGGAGAAUUCAUUAGUUAAGAUUACAUGAAUAUUGAGUAAAAUGCAUAUAUGUAAAAUUAGGAAUCGUGGAAUCAAAUUUAUAUGGAAAAUACACUAAAACCGGGAUAAAUGGGAAAAGUCACUGUUCAUCGGCCGCCAAGUGUUCGACGUGGUUCCCCUAGCGCUAGCCCCUCCUCUGCCACGCCGCCUCGCGCCCCGCGCGCCGCGCGCCGCUCCGCCUCCUCUCUGUCGCCGCCCGUCGCGUCGCCGCUGUCGCCGUCGCCGUCGACGUCCCAUCGCCGCCUCGCGCCCCGAGCCGCCGCGCCGUCACCAUCGUCGCCUGCCGCCGCGCAUCGUCGCCCGCGCCUCGAGCCCGCGCGUCGCCCGUCGCCACCACCGUGCGCCAAGCCCCGCGCUACCUCGCGCCCCGAGCCGCCCGUCCCAUCGCCGCUCGCCCGUCGUCUCGCCCUGUCGCCGUCGCGCCGCGCUACCGUCGCGUCCCGCCCCGAGCCGCGCGCCACCGCUGUCGCCGCCGCCGUCAACGUCCCGUCGCCGCGCGUCCCAUCGCCACCUCGCGCCCCGCGCCGCCGCGCCGCUGUCGCGUCGCCCCUCCCCUUCCCUUUCUUUCCCCCUCCUCUCCCCUAUAAAACUCCACCCCUCCCCAUUUCUCCCCACUCCAUCUCCCCAUCCUCUCCCUCUUCCCCUUCUCCACGCGCCGCCGUUGUCGUGCCGUUGCGCCGCCACCUUCGAAGUCGCCGCGCCGCCGUUCCCGUGCCGCCGCGCUGUCAUUCCCGUGACGCCGCGCCGUCGUUCCCGCGCCGCCGUUCCCGUGCCGCCGUGUCGCCGCUCCCACGCCGUCGUGCGCCACCGUCGCCGCUGCCGCCGCCGGUGAGCCGCCCUCUUUUCCCCUUGCGUCCACCGCCGCCGCUCGGGUGAGAGAGAGAGAGAGCCGAGAGAGAAAGGGAGAGGAAAAGAGAGGCCGGCAGAGAAAAGAAGAAGAGAGGAGAGAGAAAAAGAAAAAGAAGAGAAGAAAGUGAAAAGGAAAAGGGAAAAGAGAAAAGAAAAGAAAAAAAGAAAGGGAGAAAAAGGAAAAAGGAAAUAAAUAGAAAUUAGAGGGAGUUUGGGGAAGUUUAGGAAAUUUAAAAUAAUUAGAAUUUAAUUAUAGAUUAAUUAUAGUCGUAGAAUUGCAAAAAUGUAAUAUAAAUUACGGAUUAUUCUUGGUAAUCGAUUCGCGGUAGUAUUUUAGAUGAAAUUAAUAACUAAACAAAUAGACGAAUUCCUAUAGAUUAUUAUAGAGUAUUUUUGGGUAAACCCUAUAAGUAAUCGAUUCACGGUAGAAAUUCGGAUUCAAUCGAUAGGAAUUUUAGACGUAUAUUAUGUUUAAUCGUUUAGUCAUAGACUAAAUUAAAUGGUAUAAUAUUUUUAGGAUUCCGUCCGACAUUUAGCUCGCGAGAAGAAAUUUCUAAUCUAAUAUAUGGAUAUAAUGCUCGGGUAAAUUAAAUUAAAAACUUAUGACAACAAAAUAUUAUACCCGCAAAACAGUUUAAAUCGAAAUUGGGUUUGCCGUAGUUCGCGGAUAGUGAAGAUUAAUAAAAGGGAAUCGACUUUCGCAUGCGACUUUUAUUUGGAUUUGUUUGGAUUUUUAUUUGAAUUCUAACCGAAUUCAAAUCAAUUCUUGCACGUAACUAUAGAGCCCGAGGGAGUUGCGGAUCCAAGCGAAGGCCAAGACCCGCAAGACUUUGAGCAAGGCAAGUCAUCACUAUUCCUUGAACAUGUUGAUCCCAAUUGCGAAAUUAUUUUGUUUAUAAAUAAAAUUGCAUGCAAUGAUGAAUAUCCUACUUGGGAUUAUGCCAUGCCUUGAUUAUUGUUUACCCUUAAAUCUUUGUAACCAUGUCUACGUAUGAGUCCCUAGUCAAUUAUGACAAUUGCUUAGAAAUGCUAUUCUAGAAUCAUGCAUACUCAUAUUUAUCAAAUGCUAUAUGCUUGGGCAAUUACCUUUGGGAAGGUAAUUGAGAUGCGGCAUGUGGAGACAUGAGCACCACAUUGCCAUGAUGUUGAUGACAUGAUUUGUGAAAGGAGAAAUAAAAUUAAACAAAUGUUUUCGACUGGGGCGGCUGGAGGACUUGGGUGGUGUCCGGUAAAGGCUAGUGCCGUCCCUGGUCAGUUAAGGACCGAGCCAUGAAGUUAAACAUGAAACGACCUCAGUACAGCCGUACUUCUCGAAUGGGUAUAGACCUAGCGGAGUAGAUAGCCGAGCGGAGGCAGUAUCCCUGCAUAGUGGUUUCACUUAGGUGUGUGGACGAACAAGCAGUCUACUGGCGGAUACCCGAUACGGAUGGCCAAAUGGCGGAUACCCGAUACGGAUGGCUAGAGACUGACUUGGCAAGACUACAAGACUACAAGGAGAUACCCAAAAGGGGACAGCAUGGAUUGGGUUCAACUACAGAAUGCGAUGUUAGGCGUGCGUGAGUUUUCCCCCUCGGGAGCGCCAGAACUCCUCUCACUGCUAAAAACCGUGUACGCCUAGAGUGCAUGAGGGCUUAAGUUCAUGGAGCGGAUACUGCCAAAGUGAGGUUAUUGAAAGGCUUUGCCGUGGCAAGUCUCAUUCGUUGGGACGUAGGCUCAUGUGUUGGGCAAGUUGCGGAGUACGGGUAAAGUGUACAUCCACUGCAGUGUGAGUAAACCAAAUCUAUUCGAAUAGCCGUGCUCGCGGUUAUUGAGCACCGGGACAUGUAUUACACUUGGCUAGACUCUAAAUUCUUAACUUGUGUGGGAUGGGAUAUUGCAUGAUGAUUUUUUUUUAUGCUGAUGGAGCCACUUCCUGAGAAGCGGGAAGGUGGACGUCCUCAGAAAACCAUGACGAAUCAAUGGCGGGAAGCUAUCCUUGGGAUCACAAUGGAUGGUGGACAGAACCGUCGUUGUUUAAAUACAAACUCUGGUACUAAAAUUUGAUCAGUCAAUGCUAGGUCUUAGGCUCGUAAAAAGAAUUACAAAACUUGCUUUGCGCAAAAGAACUAUGGCCAUCCUUUGAACUCCCCCUUUCAUAUGCAUUGUUGCUGUGGUGGCUUGCUGAGUACGGUUGGUACUCAUCCUUGCAAAUAUAAAAUUUAUCAGAAGCGGGAGAUGAAGCCUCGGAGGAUCCCUAUGCCUACUAUCAGGAGGGAGAUGAAGACGAUGGCGUCCAGUAGGUCUUAGUACGGUCGUUGCCUGUGGCAAUGGCAUGCCGCUGCCUGAAUUCCGCUGCCUUAUCUAUUUCUGCUUUUGGAUGUAUUCCGGACCUCUCGGUCCGAUGAUUUAAGACUAUGCCUGCGGGCCUAUGAUGUAAUAAUUCGUAUCAGACACUCGUGUAUGUGCACUUGAUAUUUCAGCUAUGAAUUCGUGUGUACCAAACUACUUGAUCCAGGGAAAUGGUACUGUUUACACGAUUGAUUCCUGUUAUAAAAACGGGGGUCCACAGAGCUGGUAUCAGAGCCAUACGACUGUAGGAAAAGACCAAAAGGCGCCCCACCCCUUUUCUAAGUUGGCCAAGGGAGAAAUUCCCAUUUAGUAAUACUUUCAAAAAUAAAAACGCUAUGUUUACAAAACUCGGCACAAUUUUUAUCUUACUCUUAACUAUUUUCUUUACAAAACAAGUUUUACUCUCAACUGACUUUGGGUUUUCCUUAAAAUUAGAUGGCAGAUUCGGAUUCACCCGCUACCUGGGAGUUGAGCUUACCCCAAUCGGAGGGUUAUGUUAUUGAGCUGCAUCGGAUGUUGAGGCGUCUGCGAUACCCUGGUUUUCCGUCAUACCGAGUGAGGCAGUGUGGCCCAGUUUGGGAGGCUCGGGUCGAGAUUCACCCCCGAGUCCCUUCCGAGUUAGACUACAGCUUCCAGACACGUCACCACCGAGACCUGCCAGAGACAGCGAUGCAGGAUGCCGCCCGGGAGGCCUUCCUCCGACUCAGCUCUAUCCACCGAGCUGAGUUAGUGAGUACCGAGUUUGCUCAUCACCCGUUCCGGGAGGAGGGCAACUCAGUUUGCACAGUUCAGGACACGCCCUGCUGCUACAACCCGAUGGUGACUCGGUUGUCACGAUGGGCUGAGGCAGUAGAUGACUUCUACGAGGAGGCUCUGUUGGAGAUUGACGACCACCAGAGACGUAUGGAGGAGUUAGAGACUGAGGUGACCGACCUCACAGCACAGCAGCUUCAGUUGGAGGAGGAGCACCAGGCUUGGGGCAGUGAGAUAGACUCACUGAAGGCACAGCUCCAGGUCCACGGCGACCAGUUCCAGCAGUUAUCUGACCAGUACAACGAUCGCCGCGGGAUGAUGGAUACUCUUGAGGAGCAGCUGAGAGAGAGUCAGGAGCACGUCAGCCAGCUGGAGGAGCAGCUUCGAGCAGCCAAGAUCAGCACCACAGGGGCCUCUACUUCCACAGCAGUAGGCCGUGACCGCUACUUCUUCCUCACCCCGCCGUACCCACCGGCGUUCCACGCUCUUCUGGGAGAGGCUAGUAUGCUAGCUACCGAGUCAGCGCCCUACCUAGUGGACCCUACAGCAGCACAGCCACCUGUUCCGGAGUUGGUGCACACUCCACUGAUCCCUACACCUUCUCCGCAGCUGGGUUCCGGUUUGGAGACUCCGAUCCAGAUCGACUCCGAGACGGAGGGGACCGACACCGAGCCGGAGAUCGAGCCAGACAUCACUGAUCCUUCAGAGGAUGAGGCUCCUGCUCCCCGCAUCACCUUCCUUGGAGGACCUCGCACCCUCAGCACUGCUCGCAAGAGCACACGACCCCCGGGCAAUGUCGCGACCGGGAAAAUUGCCUUUUCCCGAACGCUAGUGUAUUAAUCCCCGUCCCAGGAAAAGCCGGGGUACACCACACAAACAUGAUAUAAAAGACACAUCUUUAUUAUAUCGAUAAUAUUUACAUUAUUACAAAGGCACUUAAGGCCUGACAAUCAAAAAUAAACGGCAGCGGACUAGCGGGCCUACGGCUCCAUCUUCACAGGCGCUCAACUGGGGUAUAAGCCAGGACUCCACCUAAGACAUCUUCUCCAAAGCUUCUCUUACUGAAGGGGGAAAAGAUUGAGCAAGAAUGAGUACAACCACAGUAUUCAGCAAGCCACACCGGCAGAUGCAUGAUUAAUGCAAGGGGGUACAAGGGGAUAAUAGUAGGGGUUAGGUUUUGCAGUAAACAGCAUUUAAAAGUCACUUAGUUGCCCAAAGCCAUUUUGUAAAGACGAUCCUAGAGCUACACAGUAUUAUUAAACAAGGCCGUGAACCCUCACGAACCUGCCUUAACCCAAGGCCUACGAUGAUUUGGACCGAACUGGCAACCCGACCUGGGUUCCAGCUCGUCCCAAGCCAACCCAGGCCAACCAUUCCAUAUUUUAGUUGUGGAGCAAAUUUUAAGAAUUAAAACACUAACUUGGGUACAUUGCUAGGCUUGCCCAUAUCCGAGGGCUCGGCUAUUCGAAUAGAUUUACUCUGAUCAGAGGUGUACAUCUUUACCCACAAGACACAUCUUUACUCCGCAUUCCAUGGCCUUGGAACCCGUCGUAAAGAUGUGACAUAGUUUCCAACCCAUCCUAGCCUUAGACAAGAGUACCGACCCAAUCCUACCUACGGCCGGGAUACCCGGGACAGGCAGGCAGAACUGAGCCCCUAGCAUUGGGCACCAACCCUCCGCCGUACGACAUCUCGACUACCGGGCCGCAGCUCGUGUAGCCUUCAUUUGCCCUGGAGAAUGUCCAUCGACGCCCGACUUCAUCCAUCUCCAAUCCGUGUACUUUUGUUUAUGACUAGACUGAGCCACAAACUAAGCCUUACCCAUUAGACAUGUGGAAGUACGGUAGUGCUUUGCAACAGAGGCCCGAGCUUUAGUCCUUAUAGUGGCCGGGGUGCUACUUCCCAUAACUGGCAUGCACCCAAACCCCACCGAAAACAGGUUUUAGGGGUUUUGAAAGAGGAAGAGAGGUGUUUGUCCAAUUCCAACAUAAGCCAACCAUUCCAAAGUGUCCAAAUGAUAUGAGAAUUCCCAAAGUCUAAAGUUAUAAAACCACCUAAUGUUGCCUAAUUAAUCAGCGAAGCAUCUACCUAAAUUCAUACUAGUGGAACCAUGAAUAGAGUACCCACUAGUUGAGGUUUUGUUUAAUCUAGGGUGAACAAGGUAAUAAUAAUAACAAUAACAAUAAUAAUAUGGUCAUAACAAAGGUAAAUAAGCAUGGCUAAAUAAAACAGUGGUAACGCGGGAAUUUAAAUAAAGCGAUAAUGCAAUAAUUUAAAUCAACAUAAUUUUAUAAAAUGGGAUUCAAUAUGCUCAAGGAUGAUGUGACUUGCCUUGCUCAGAAAGAACGGCCUUCCGAACCUUUGGCGACGACCACGAACCACGCUUCGGGAACCUCCGGAACGACGAAAGCUACGCGAAGCACACAAGCAAAGCUACAAGCCUAUAAAGAAGCAAUAACAAUACAUAAAAACAAAGCACAGGGUUCUUUAGGUUAUAACAAACAUUAGGAGACUUGAACGGGUCGAUUCAGAGUUCGUAUGACCGAGAUAUGAUCAUCCGAAGUUUAAUGCUGUUAUAUGGAGAUUUGCGGAUUAUUAUAAUUAAGCUUUGCAAUUAUAAAACAUGUGUAAGCGCUGGCCUGGAAAAGACAGGAAGGCUGCGCCGUUGACAUGCGGACCCCACAUGUCAACCUAAAGGACCGCGGUAGACCGAGUACACAGAGGCGGUCCACGGUCGACGGAAGCGGAUCCCGUGUGUCAACCGAGGCGAGUGGCCGACAAACGGACUCCACUAGACACCACACGGUCACUACCCGCACACGUGAACGACCACCGACACCGGUACACGGGUACCGGGGCCGACAACCGCACAACGGGCACGGGCGACACCGAAAGGACGAGGACAGGGCAGCGAGGGAGAGGGAACCUUACCACCACGCGACGAGGCGUGGGAACGACAACGACGAACGGGCGCGGCGGAGACAGACGGGCACAACGGAGACGAACGGCGAGGGGACGGCUUCGGCGGCGAUCCUUGGACGAAGGCGAGACGCGGCCGGCACGAGGCUUGACGACGCGGAGCCGAGGACAAAGACGAGGACGGGGCUGCAGCGGCUCGCUUGACGAACGCGGACGACGGACGAGAACGGCUCGACGGAGGGACGAACGCCACGACGACCGGAAACGACGAGAGGACGACGACGGCGACGACCGGGGCCGGCGAGGAGGCGACGAGGACAGCCGGCAGCGGCUGCACGGGGACGAGGAUGACGUGGAACACGCCGCUGCGAUGACGAUGACGGAGGCGGCGCCGCGAGACGACGAGCCGGGCGAGAGGGAACGGUGAAGACGACGACGGGCACCGGCGGUGUUCGGUCGGAGGGGAGGCGAGGCCGAGGACGACGUCGCAGCUGCGAUGCCGAAGAUGAUGGGGGUGUGGCCGACCGGUGCACGGCGAGGAGGGACGGGCGGCCGAACAACUCCGGCGAGGCGGACGGAGAGGUUCGCGGCGACGUUCCGGCGAAACCGAGGGCAGGCCGGGGUGGAGGGCGAUGCGGCGUCGCCGAGGGAGGAGACGGCGACGUCGGCCGACGCUCUGGCGCGGCGACCGGGGCAGCCGGAGGAGAUGUCGACGAGGAGGAAGGUGAGGCCGGCGCGGGCGACGGUGUUCCGGCGAUGUUCGGGCGAGGAGGAGGUGAUGCCGGGGAUGAGAGCGGCGUCGUGGAGCCGAGGAAGGUGGUGGCGACGUCGGCCGGCGCUCCGGGGACGCGGCAGAGGCGGCCGGAGGCGAAAUCGUGGCGGCAACACCACUGGACGCCGGCGAGGACGCGUCUCCGGUGCUUUACCCGCGAAACGGAGGGCUGACCGAGGGAGAGGGGGCAGCUGCGAGGCCGAGGGAGAAGACGGCGCGGCCGGGCGGCGCUCGGGCGAGGAGAGGAAGGCGGCUGGAGGUGGCCGGCGCGAAGGAAGGAGGAGGGCGACGGCGGGAACGUAGUUCCGGGGGUCUCCUCGCGAAACGGAGGGCAGGCCGGCGUGGAGGAGGUGGCGGCGACGCUGGAGGAGGCGAUGGCGCGGCCGGCCGGCGCACGGGCGAGGCGGCACAGGCGGCUGGAGGUCGCCGGCGGUGUGGGAGAGAGAGGGCGACGGCGGGGAUGGGGCUAGAGACCACGGGGAGGCUCGGGAUGGGGUUAAAACGAGAGAACGCACGGAGGGGGUUGCAUUUUAUAGGAUGGGGGAGGGAGCCGGGCACGGGAGAGGGCGGAACGGCGACGGGAAUGGCGGCCGGCGGCAAUGGAGGGCGGCCGAGGAAGACGCGGGCGUUCCCGGCGAUUGGGGGCGCCAUUCAAGGGGGAAAUUAGGGGGAAUUGAAGAGGAGUCAAUGGGGAUUAAAACCCCCCAAUUAAUUUCGGAAUCCAUGGUUUGAUUUGCGCGGAUUUGGAGGAGGAAUUCGCACGGGAGGGAGAGAAGGCCGUGCGGGAGGAGGAAGAAGGCGACGGCGCCCUGGCGCGUGGGCCCCACCGGUCAGGCGGCGGCGUCAGCGCGCGCACGCGCGCGGCACGUGCGGGAGGGGAGCGGCUCGGGGGCUGGGGCGGCUUGGGCCGAGCGGCCGGCCCAAGAGGAGAGGAGGGGAGGCGGCAUGGGCCGAGCAGGCCGGGAGGGAAGAGGGGGGGGGAAAAGGCAGCCCGAGAGAGAGAGGGAGGAGGGAGUGGGCCGAGAGGGGGAGAGGCCCAAGAGGAGGAGGGAGAGAAGGAGAGGGAGAGAAAGAGAGGGAGGACUUUGGGCCAAAUUUGGCCCAAAAGAAAGAAGAGGAUUAUUUUUAGAUUUUUCUUUUUAAUAAACUUUGACAAUUGUUGUUGUUGUUUAAUAAAUAUUUCCGGUGCUCUGAAAAUUCAAGUAAAAUUUGAGGGCUCAUUUUAGACCAAGGAGAAUUUAACAAAAAUUCUCCGGGCCACAUUCGAAUUUUUCUUGCACGUAUUUUAGUGUUUGCCGAUUUCUUUUCGAAUUUUAAUUAAUUCUAUUAUUCCUUUUAGCGAAUGAAUUUUUAAUUUUGGGAUGAAUUUAUCAGGACGUGACAAAUCCACCCUCCUUACAAGAAUCUCGUCCCCGAGAUUCGAGGAGGCUAGCAAGAAGAUAGGUUGGGCGGUCUUCUCUUAUUGUCUGACUUCUUCCGCUCCGUCUUCUAUAACAAACUUGCCUAACAAAACUUCUUCACUCUGGACUGCUUGGCUCGAUCUCCUGUUGCAGAUGGAAUCUUCUCUUCACCUGACUUGUCCCUGGUUGAACCUUUAGCUGACUUCGACUGGGUUGCGGCACUUGAAGAUGGGGCUUCAGUUCCAGAACUUUGCAUAGUUCAUAUCUUUGGAGUCAACCUCAUACAAGUUACCCACUUCAUGUCAUGCGUCGAGAUCAGCUCGUCAUUACUAAGAUACCAUGCUUGUCAUCAUUUAGCAUUCAAAGUAUUCCUUUACACAUUCAGCCCUGACGUAUUCUUUUUAGAUUUCUCUUAUCAAUCACCUUUCGACCUACUUCUUUGCCUGGUAAUAAACAUCUUUUUCGAUAUCUUCUAUCAGUCAUCUUUUGACCUCUGGAGAAACUUCUCUUGUUUGUCUUCAUCCGUUUCCACAUCUUCUGGUGCAUAGUGAGCCAAACGAUAGAACUCGUGCCGGUACUCUGUGACGGUCAAAUCUCCUUGCUUCAGGUAGCGAAACUCUCGUUUUCUUAGUGUGAUCAUUCCUGCGGGAACAUGUGAUCUCCUGAAUACAGAGGAAAACUCGUUCCAGGUGAUGGUAUGUCCUUCUGGCCGUGAUGCCUCGUAGCUAUCCCACCACUCUGAAGCCGGUCCAACCAACUGAUGAGUUGCGAAGCCAACCCGCUCCUGGUCGGUGCACUGAAUCACCCCUAGCUUCUUCUCGACUGUGCGCAACCAAUCAUUGGCUUCCAUAGGAUCGACGGCCAUGGCAAAGGUUGGAGGCCCCGUUUUGAGAAAUUCUGAUAACUUGCACUGUUGCUGGACUGUAGGUACUUGAACGUUGGUUGCCCCUGCUGGGUUGUUCCGAUUCUGUAAUAGUUGAAAGGCGGUUGCCAACAUGUUGGUUUGGUUAACCACAACUUGGAUUAGCUCUGGUGAGGUUUCGUUGAUGCUUCUCUCAUUCCCAUUGGCUUGGGUUCUUGAGUCAUCGGAUCCAUCAUUCCCAUAGCCUUUGUUACCAAUGUUAUCCAUCUGUCACAAGGUAGAGGUUGAGAGGGGAAGCAUACAAGGAAAGAAUAGACCAGAGCUAGGGACAGGACCUUAAAGGAACUAACUCUUUUUGUUGAUGUGUUGUUUGUUUCAUUUAUUCUGCAAGUUGAUUAAGCAAACAACCUAGCAUGGUUACAUCACCACCCACCGAUGCAAACCACGCGCUACACACACAAGCAAGGAAACACACGACAAACGAAACACUAGAGGGUGGCUUAGGUUCUGCGACGGGUUCUCCAAGAUCUUCACUCCUGCUUCACAGCUGGCUUCACUGCUUCCUUCGCUUCGCUGGCGGAUCCUGCAGUCUUCCGGAGCUUCGGCAAACAACUGACGACAUCUUCUUCUUCGCAAAGCUGACCAUCUAGUACUUAGUUGAAAUCCGAAGAAAGAAAAGAGUAAACCUUUUGCAAAUAGCAUUAGGGGAAGGAGAAAAAGAGGAACUUUCGCAAAUAAUUUUAUUUAUAAAAUAUGUCCUUAGGUUUUAUCCAUUUGGCUUAUCCUACAGUCGAGAUGGCUCUGAUACCAGCUUGUCGCGACCGGGAAAAUUGCCUUUUCCCGAACGCUAGUGUAUUAAUCCCCGUCCCAGGAAAAGCCGGGGUACACCACACAAACAUGAUAUAAAAGACACAUCUUUAUUAUAUCGAUAAUAUUUACAUUAUUACAAAGGCACUUAAGGCCUGACAAUCAAAAAUAAACGGCAGCGGACUAGCGGGCCUACGGCUCCAUCUUCACAGGCGCUCAACUGGGGUAUAAGCCAGGACUCCACCUAAGACAUCUUCUCCAAAGCUUCUCUUACUGAAGGGGGAAAAGAUUGAGCAAGAAUGAGUACAACCACAGUACUCAGCAAGCCACACCGGCAGAUGCAUGAUUAAUGCAAGGGGGUACAAGGGGAUAAUAGUAGGGGUUAGGUUUUGCAGUAAACAGCAUUUAAAAGUCACUUAGUUGCCCAAAGCCAUUUUGUAAAGACGAUCCUAGAGCUACACAGUAUUAUUAAACAAGGCCGUGAACCCUCACGAACCUGCCUUAACCCAAGGCCUACGAUGAUUUGGACCGAACUGGCAACCCGACCUGGGUUCCAGCUCGUCCCAAGCCAACCCAGGCCAACCAUUCCAUAUUUUAGUUGUGGAGCAAAUUUUAAGAAUUAAAACACUGACUUGGGUACAUUGCUAGGCUUGCCCAUAUCCGAGGGCUCGGCUAUUCGAAUAGAUUUACUCUGAUCAGAGGUGUACAUCUUUACCCACAAGACACAUCUUUACUCCGCAUUCCAUGGCCUUGGAACCCGUCGUAAAGAUGUGACAUAGUUUCCAACCCAUCCUAGCCUUAGACAAGAGUACCGACCCAAUCCUACCUACGGCCGGGAUACCCGGGACAGGCAGGCAGAACUGAGCCCCUAGCAUUGGGCACCAACCCUCCGCCGUACGACAUCUCGACUACCGGGCCGCAGCUCGUGUAGCCUUCAUUUGCCCUGGAGAAUGUCCAUCGACGCCCGACUUCAUCCAUCUCCAAUCCGUGUACUUUUGUUUAUGACUAGACUGAGCCACAAACUAAGCCUUACCCAUUAGACAUGUGGAAGUACGGUAGUGCUUUGCAACAGAGGCCCGAGCUUUAGUCCUUAUAGUGGCCGGGGUGCUACUUCCCACAACUGGCAUGCACCCAAACCCCACCGAAAACAGGUUUUAGGGGUUUUGAAAGAGGAAGAGAGGUGUUUGUCCAAUUCCAACAUAAGCCAACCAUUCCAAAGUGUCCAAAUGAUAUGAGAAUUCCCAAAGUCUAAAGUUAUAAAACCACCUAAUGUUGCCUAAUUAAUCAGCGAAGCAUCUACCUAAAUUCAUACUAGUGGAACCAUGAAUAGAGUACCCACUAGUUGAGGUUUUGUUUAAUCUAGGGUGAACAAGGUAAUAAUAAUAACAAUAACAAUAAUAAUAUGGUCAUAACAAAGGUAAAUAAGCAUGGCUAAAUAAAACAGUGGUAACGCGGGAAUUUAAAUAAAGCGAUAAUGCAAUAAUUUAAAUCAACAUAAUUUUAUAAAAUGGGAUUCAAUAUGCUCAAGGAUGAUGUGACUUGCCUUGCUCAGAAAGAACGGCCUUCCGAACCUUUGGCGACGACCACGAACCACGCUUCGGGAACCUCCGGAACGACGAAAGCUACGCGAAGCACACAAGCAAAGCUACAAGCCUAUAAAGAAGCAAUAACAAUACAUAAAAACAAAGCACAGGGUUCUUUAGGUUAUAACAAACAUUAGGAGACUUGAACGGGUCGAUUCAGAGUUCGUAUGACCGAGAUAUGAUCAUCCGAAGUUUAAUGCUGUUAUAUGGAGAUUUGCGGAUUAUUAUAAUUAAGCUUUGCAAUUAUAAAACAUGUGUAAGCGCUGGCCUGGAAAAGACAGGAAGGCUGCGCCGUUGACAUGCGGACCCCACAUGUCAACCUAAAGGACCGCGGUAGACCGAGUACACAGAGGCGGUCCACGGUCGACGGAAGCGGAUCCCGUGUGUCAACCGAGGCGAGUGGCCGACAAACGGACUCCACUAGACACCACACGGUCACUACCCGCACACGUGAACGACCACCGACACCGGUACACGGGUACCGGGGCCGACAACCGCACAACGGGCACGGGCGACACCGAAAGGACGAGGACAGGGCAGCGAGGGAGAGGGAACCUUACCACCACGCGACGAGGCGUGGGAACGACAACGACGAACGGGCGCGGCGGAGACAGACGGGCACAACGGAGACGAACGGCGAGGGGACGGCUUCGGCGGCGAUCCUUGGACGAAGGCGAGACGCGGCCGGCACGAGGCUUGACGACGCGGAGCCGAGGACAAAGACGAGGACGGGGCUGCAGCGGCUCGCUUGACGAACGCGGACGACGGACGAGAACGGCUCGACGGAGGGACGAACGCCACGACGACCGGAAACGACGAGAGGACGACGACGGCGACGACCGGGGCCGGCGAGGAGGCGACGAGGACAGCCGGCAGCGGCUGCACGGGGACGAGGAUGACGUGGAACACGCCGCUGCGAUGACGAUGACGGAGGCGGCGCCGCGAGACGACGAGCCGGGCGAGAGGGAACGGUGAAGACGACGACGGGCACCGGCGGUGUUCGGUCGGAGGGGAGGCGAGGCCGAGGACGACGUCGCAGCUGCGAUGCCGAAGAUGAUGGGGGUGUGGCCGACCGGUGCACGGCGAGGAGGGACGGGCGGCCGAACAACUCCGGCGAGGCGGACGGAGAGGUUCGCGGCGACGUUCCGGCGAAACCGAGGGCAGGCCGGGGUGGAGGGCGAUGCGGCGUCGCCGAGGGAGGAGACGGCGACGUCGGCCGACGCUCUGGCGCGGCGACCGGGGCAGCCGGAGGAGAUGUCGACGAGGAGGAAGGUGAGGCCGGCGCGGGCGACGGUGUUCCGGCGAUGUUCGGGCGAGGAGGAGGUGAUGCCGGGGAUGAGAGCGGCGUCGUGGAGCCGAGGAAGGUGGUGGCGACGUCGGCCGGCGCUCCGGGGACGCGGCAGAGGCGGCCGGAGGCGAAAUCGUGGCGGCAACACCACUGGACGCCGGCGAGGACGCGUCUCCGGUGCUUUACCCGCGAAACGGAGGGCUGACCGAGGGAGAGGGGGCAGCUGCGAGGCCGAGGGAGAAGACGGCGCGGCCGGGCGGCGCUCGGGCGAGGAGAGGAAGGCGGCUGGAGGUGGCCGGCGCGAAGGAAGGAGGAGGGCGACGGCGGGAACGUAGUUCCGGGGGUCUCCUCGCGAAACGGAGGGCAGGCCGGCGUGGAGGAGGUGGCGGCGACGCUGGAGGAGGCGAUGGCGCGGCCGGCCGGCGCACGGGCGAGGCGGCACAGGCGGCUGGAGGUCGCCGGCGGUGUGGGAGAGAGAGGGCGACGGCGGGGAUGGGGCUAGAGACCACGGGGAGGCUCGGGAUGGGGUUAAAACGAGAGAACGCACGGAGGGGGUUGCAUUUUAUAGGAUGGGGGAGGGAGCCGGGCACGGGAGAGGGCGGAACGGCGACGGGAAUGGCGGCCGGCGGCAAUGGAGGGCGGCCGAGGAAGACGCGGGCGUUCCCGGCGAUUGGGGGCGCCAUUCAAGGGGGAAAUUAGGGGGAAUUGAAGAGGAGUCAAUGGGGAUUAAAACCCCCCAAUUAAUUUCGGAAUCCAUGGUUUGAUUUGCGCGGAUUUGGAGGAGGAAUUCGCACGGGAGGGAGAGAAGGCCGUGCGGGAGGAGGAAGAAGGCGACGGCGCCCUGGCGCGUGGGCCCCACCGGUCAGGCGGCGGCGUCAGCGCGCGCACGCGCGCGGCACGUGCGGGAGGGGAGCGGCUCGGGGGCUGGGGCGGCUUGGGCCGAGCGGCCGGCCCAAGAGGAGAGGAGGGGAGGCGGCAUGGGCCGAGCAGGCCGGGAGGGAAGAGGGGGGGGGAAAAGGCAGCCCGAGAGAGAGAGGGAGGAGGGAGUGGGCCGAGAGGGGGAGAGGCCCAAGAGGAGGAGGGAGAGAAGGAGAGGGAGAGAAAGAGAGGGAGGACUUUGGGCCAAAUUUGGCCCAAAAGAAAGAAGAGGAUUAUUUUUAGAUUUUUCUUUUUAAUAAACUUUGACAAUUGUUGUUGUUGUUUAAUAAAUAUUUCCGGUGCUCUGAAAAUUCAAGUAAAAUUUGAGGGCUCAUUUUAGACCAAGGAGAAUUUAACAAAAAUUCUCCGGGCCACAUUCGAAUUUUUCUUGCACGUAUUUUAGUGUUUGCCGAUUUCUUUUCGAAUUUUAAUUAAUUCUAUUAUUCCUUUUAGCGAAUGAAUUUUUAAUUUUGGGAUGAAUUUAUCAGGACGUGACAGGCAAGAGGCCUAAGCCAGAUCCAGAGGCCACUACCUCUGAGCCGUGGGGACUCCGGUUUGCGCGAGCCAGCGACUACCCUCUACCUGCCCCGGGAUCCUGCGGAUGGCUGGAGGAUUAGACUGACGGACUCCUUGCAGCUUCGAUCUCGUAUCAGAUGGUUUUUGGAUAGUAUGCGAGACACCCCCUUCCCUUACCUAGAUUGACGAGUAGUUUGAUGAUUGGUUUGAUGUAUCGUUUGGAUGAACCUUAUUUGGACUGCGUAUGUAUGCAGUCAAUUGCAUCAUGAUUUAUGUACCAUUUGUGAAACUCUGUGAUGUUAUCUAUGAUAUCUAUUGUUGUUGUGUUGUAAAUGAGUUUAUUCCACCAUGCUUGCGAAACAAAGUCAUAUCGACACAACUCCCUUAAUGGGAUAAAGCCAUAGGAGCUAGUUAGAAAAUUAGGAUGCUUACUCCAUCAACCUACACAGAUGGCAAGCCGACGUCGGGCAACAACCAGCAAUGACGAAACUCAGACACCCGACUUAAACACUCUGGCCGGAAUUAUGGCCACCCAAACUCAACUUCUGCAAGCUAUCGCGAGCAACCAAGGCAACCGCGGAGGGUCAAGCUUUGGAGAGUUUAUGAGGACCAAGCCGCCCACGUUCGCUACGGCCGAUGAGCCCAUGGAAGCAGAAGACUGGCUACGCAUCAUAGAAAAGAAACUGACUCUAGUCAGGGUACGCGAAGCCGACAAGGUGAUCUUCGCAGUGAACCAGCUGGAAGGACCCGCUGGUGAUUGGUGGGAUACCUACAAGGAGGCCCGAGAAGACGGUGCUGGAGAACCCACCUGGGAGGAGUUCACUGCAGCGUUUCGCGAGAAUUUCGUACCUACUGCAGUGAUGCGCAUGAAGAAGAACGAGUUUAGAAGACUGCGGCAAGGGAAUACAACGGUGCAGGAGUAUCUAAACAAGUUCACUCAGUUGGCUCGCUACGCAAUUGGAGACCUGGCGGAUGAAGAAGAAAAGAUCGACAAGUUCAUAGAAGGGCUGAAUGAUGAAUUGCGUGGACCUAUGAUCGGGCAGGAUCACGAGAGUUUCCAGAGCCUGAUCAACAAGGUCGUCAGGCUAGAGAACGAUCAAAGGACGGUGGAACACAACCGCAAGAGGAGGCUUGCUAUGAGUCGCCCACCUCAGACAAUGCCUCAGCGACUUAAGGGAGCCACUCCGUCCGGAUGGAAGCCCCCUGUCAUGGUGACCAACCGUCCCGCUGCACUUAGCAACUUCAACAGGCCAGUUGCACUUCAGAACCGCACCCCUACACCAACUUUGGCUGCCCCUGGGGCCAAGAAGAAUGUGGACUGCUUCAACUGUGGGAAAUACGGGCACUACGCUAACAACUGCCCUCAUCCACGCAAAACCCCUGUCCGAACUGGCGCGAACGCAAUGACUGUUCGCGGCACUACUACCCCUGCUGUCGGGCGAGGCCUAUUCAAGACUCCGCAACCGAACAGGACCACCACUGGAUUUGGGCGCGGGCAAGUGAACCAUGUUCGAGCUGAAGAGGCCCAGGAAGAUCAAGGCGUACUGAUGGGUAUGUUUUCACUCAACUCCACUCCAAUUAAAGUUCUCUUCGAUUCAGGAGCAUUGCAUUCAUUUAUAUCUUUGAAAGCAAGUCAACAACACAAUUUAACCAGAGUUAAAUUAAGACAACCAAUGUUAGUACAUUCGCCUGGGGGUGAGAUAGCAGUGGAUACAGCUUGCAUUGACGUACCCAUCCGCCUUAGGGAUGUGGUAUUUCCCUCCAAUCUUAUGGUGCUAAUACCCCAAACUCUUGAUGUCAUUUUGGGUAUGGAUUGGUUAGCAAAGCAUAGAGGAGUAAUUGACUGUAGACGUAGAGAAGUUACCCUGACCACACCCUGGGGAUCGGAUAUGAGAGCAACCAUGGAUCAAGAUCCUAGGCUAACCGAACGUGCCGGAGGUAUAUUUACCAUGCUACCCCUAAAGGGAAUGCCAGUAGUGCAGCGAUUUCCUGAUGUGUUCCCAGAAGAUUUACCUGGAAUGCCACCAGAUCGUGACAUAGAGUUCAUUAUUGACCUGAUACCCGGAACUGCCCCCAUAUCCAAGAGACCAUAUCGGAUGCCGGUCAAUGAGUUAGAAGAACUUAAAAAGCAAAUUAGGGAGUUGCAAGAGAAGGGAUUUGUACGCCCCAGUUCGUCACCUUGGGGAGCCCCAGUGUUAUUUGUUAAAAAGAAAGACGGUAGCAUGAGAAUGUGUGUAGACUACCGAUCACUGAACGAAGUGACUAUCAAAAAUAAGUAUCCCCUACCACGGAUUGAUGACCUCUUCGACCAACUUAAGGGAGCUAAGGUGUUUUCAAAGAUAGACCUUCGAUCAGGAUACCACCAACUGAAGAUUAGGACCGAGGAUAUCCCCAAAACCGCGUUUUCAACACGCUAUGGGUUGUAUGAAUUCACAGUAAUGUCGUUUGGUCUAACCAAUGCCCCAGCAUACUUCAUGAAUCUUAUGAACAAAGUAUUCAUGGAUUACUUGGAUAAGUUUGUGGUGGUAUUCAUUGAUGACAUUCUAAUCUACUCCAAAGAUGAGGAAGAACAUGCGGAACACUUAAGAUUGGUUCUCCAGAAACUCCGAAAGCACAAGUUAUACGCAAAAUUCAGCAAGUGCGAAUUUUGGUUGAAGGAAGUCGCUUUUCUGGGUCACGUAAUCUCAGCCGGUGGAGUAGCAGUGGACCCUGCUAAAGUGGAGGCUGUCACGGAAUGGAAAGCACCCAAAUCGGUGACUGAAAUCCGGAGUUUUCUAGGCUUGGCUGGAUACUACCGAAGGUUCAUUGAAGGGUUCUCUAAGAUAGCCCGACCAAUGACACAAUUACUCAAGAAGGAAAAGAAGUUUGCAUGGUCGGAACAGUGUCAAGGAAGCUUUGAGCAGCUCAAAGAAAAGCUGACCUCAGCACCUAUUUUAGUUCUUCCCGACAUCAGGAAAGACUUUGUUGUAUAUUGUGAUGCGUCGAGGCAAGGACUAGGAGGUGUACUGAUGCAGGAGGGAAAAGUGGUGGCCUAUGCGUCGCGACAAUUGCGACCACAUGAGGAAAACUACCCUACCCAUGACCUAGAACUCGCAGCUGUGGUUCAUGCACUAAAGAUUUGGAGACAUUAUCUGAUUGGAAACCAUUGCGAUAUCUACACUGACCACAAGAGUCUAAAGUAUAUCUUCACCCAGUCAGAUCUCAACUUGAGGCAAAGGCGAUGGUUAGAAUUAAUCAAGGACUAUGAUUUAGAGGUUCAUUAUCACCCAGGCAAAGCAAACGUCGUAGCCGACGCUCUGAGUCGUAAGAGCCAUUGCAAUCAUCUGAGAACGGAAGGGAUGGUCCCUGAGCUUAGGGAGGAAAUGGCGCAGCUGAACCUACAUAUAGUACCCCAUGGACAGAUAAACACCCUGGAUAUUCAACCUCUUUUGAGAACCCAAAUAGAAGAAGCCCAGAAGGACAAUGAGGAAGUCCGAGAGGUGAAGGAACGCUUAGCUGCCGGACGUGCAAAGGAAUUUUCAACCGACGAAAAAGAUGUUCUAUGGUAUAAAAAGAGAAUUUACGUACCCGAACAGGGUGGACUGAGGGGAUUAAUUUUAAAGGAAGCUCACGAAUCGGCAUAUUCAUUGCACCCCGGAAGUACGAAGAUGUACCAAGAUCUGAAGGAAGGAUACUGGUGGCCCAACAUGAAGAGAGAUGUGGCCGAAUACGUAGCACUCUGCGACGUAUGCCAGAAGGUGAAGGCUGAACACCAGAGGCCGGCAGGUUUGUUGCAACCUCUCAGGAUUCCCGAAUGGAAAUGGGAUGAGAUAGGUAUGGAUUUCAUUGUUGGAUUGCCCAAGACCGCAACAGGAUAUGAUUCCAUUUGGGUAAUCGUGGAUCGACUCACCAAGACGGCGAGAUUCAUUCCCGUUAAGACAAAUUAUAGCAGUGCAAAACUCGCCGAGUUGUAUAUGACCAGGAUAGUGUGUCUUCAUGGUAUACCUAAGAAGAUUAUAUCUGAUCGAGGCACACAGUUUACCUCACAUUUCUGGGAGAAAGUCCAUGAAGCCCUGGGAAGUUACCUCGCAUUUAGCACCGCUUAUCAUCCACAGACAGAUGGCCAGACGGAGAGAACCAACCAGGUCCUGGAGGACAUGCUGAGGGCUUGUGCUCUGGAUUUUAGCAAGGACUGGGAGAGGUGUUUGCCCUACGCCGAAUUCUCUUACAACAACAGCUUUCAAGCAAGCCUAAAGAUGUCACCCAAUGAGGCAUUGUUUGGUCGACGAUGUCGUACCCCGCUAAUGUGGUCCGAGACUGGAGAACGGGCGGUAUUUGGACCUGACAUUAUUCAAGAAGCCGAAGAAAAGGUUCGCUUGAUCCGUGAUCGUCUAAAAGUAGCACAAUCACGACAAAAGAGUUACGCCGACACUCGAAGAAGAAACCUGGAAUUUAAGGAAGGAGAUUACGUUUAUCUAAAGGUUUCUCCGAUGAGGGGAACAAAAAGGUUUAAGGUUAAAGGAAAACUGGCACCAAGAUAUGUGGGGCCAUUCCAGAUCAUCGCCAGGCGAGGAGAAGUCGCAUAUCAGUUACAGCUACCAGAAUAUAUCGCCGAUGUGCACCCAGUCUUCCAUGUGUCCCAAUUAAAGAAAUGCUUACGAGUGCCGGAAGAACAAGCCCCGCUGGAAGAGAUUCACAUUAGCAAUGAUCUCACAUAUCCAGAACACCCGAUCCGGAUAUUGGAUGAAGCAGAAAAGAGGACUAGGAGCAAAGUGUGGCGUAUGUACAAGGUACAAUGGAGUAAUCACACUGAGGACGAAGCCACCUGGGAAGGCGAAGAAUUCUUGAGGACGGAGUACCCGCAUCUAUUCGGCAACUGGUAAGAAAAUCUCGGGACGAGAUUUAUUUAAGGGGGGUAGGUUUGUAACACCCUGAAAAUUCGACCAACGAAAUCAAAACUCUAAAAAUGCGGACUUUCAAAAACUUUUUAAACCAAUUGCAUCAUGCCGACUUUAUUCGCCUGUUUCAUUGGAUUUUGAUGUCGGAGUCUAAUUAAUCGCGAAUAAUGAAUAACUAGCUAGGAACAAACCAUAAAAUAAAAUCUAGUUGACUAAAUAAAUAAUUAAAAUAUAAAUUAAAAUAAAGGUUAGGUGGGAUUGAAAUAAAUAAAAUAAUAUCGCAACCAUAUUAGCAAUAAUUAAAUUUUAGUACGAUGGAAUAACCCUAAUUAAAAUAAAUUAUAUAAAAAUAAAAUAUGAGUAAUAUUAAUCUAGGGAGAAUUCAUUAGUUAAGAUUACAUGAAUAUUGAGUAAAAUGCAUAUAUGUAAAAUUAGGAAUCGUGGAAUCAAAUUUAUAUGGAAAAUACACUAAAACCGGGAUAAAUGGGAAAAGUCACUGUUCAUCGGCCGCCAAGUGUUCGACGUGGUUCCCCUAGCGCUAGCCCCUCCUCUGCCACGCCGCCUCGCGCACCGCGCGCCGCGCGCCGCUCCGCCUCCUCUCUGUCGCCGCCCGUCGCGUCGCCGCUGUCGCCGUCGCCGUCGACGUCCCAUCGCCGCCUCGCGCCCCGAGCCGCCGCGCCGUCACCAUCGUCGCCUGCCGCCGCGCAUCGUCGCCCACGCCUCGAGCCCGCGCGUCGCCCGUCGCCACCACCGUGCGCCAAGCCCCGCGCUACCUCGCGCCCCGAGCCGCCCGUCCCAUCGCCGCUCGCCCGUCGUCUCGCCCUGUCGCCGUCGCGCCGCGCUACCGUCGCGUCCCGCCCCGAGCCGCGCGCCACCGCUGUCGCCGCCGCCGUCAACGUCCCGUCGCCGCGCGUCCCAUCGCCACCUCGCGCCCCGCGCCGCCGCGCCGCUGUCGCGUCGCCCCUCCCCUUCCCUUUCUUUCCCCCUCCUCUCCCCUAUAAAACUCCACCCCUCCCCAUUUCUCCCCACUCCAUCUCCCCAUCCUCUCCCUCUUCCCCUUCUCCACGCGCCGCCGUUCUCGUGCCGUUGCGCCGCCACCUUCGAAGUCGCCGCGCCGCCGUUCCCGUGCCGCCGCGCUGUCAUUCCCGUGACGCCGCGCCGUCGUUCCCGCGCCGCCGUUCCCGUGCCGCCGUGUCGCCGCUCCCACGCCGUCGUGCGCCACCGUCGCCGCCGCCGUCGUCGCCGCUGCCGCCGCCGGUGAGCCGCCCUCUUUUCCCCUUGCGUCCACCGCCGCCGCUCGGGUGAGAGAGAGAGAGAGCCGAGAGAGAAAGGGAGAGGAAAAGAGAGGCCGGCAGAGAAAAGAAGAAGAGAGGAGAGAGAAAAAGAAAAAGAAGAGAAGAAAGUGAAAAGGAAAAGGGAAAAGAGAAAAGAAAAGAAAAAAGGAAAGGGAGAAAAAGGAAAAAGGAAAUAAAUAGAAAUUAGAGGGAGUUUGGGGAAGUUUAGGAAAUUUAAAAUAAUUAGAAUUUAAUUAUAGAUUAAUUAUAGUCGUAGAAUUGCAAAAAUGUAAUAUAAAUUACGGAUUAUUCUUGGUAAUCGAUUCGCGGUAGUAUUUUAGAUGAAAUUAAUAACUAAACAAAUAGACGAAUUCCUAUAGAUUAUUAUAGAGUAUUUUUGGGUAAACCCUAUAAGUAAUCGAUUCACGGUAGAAAUUCGGAUUCAAUCGAUAGGAAUUUUAGACGUAUAUUAUGUUUAAUCGUUUAGUCAUAGACUAAAUUAAAUGGUAUAAUAUUUUUAGGAUUCCGUCCGACAUUUAGCUCGCGAGAAGAAAUUUCUAAUCUAAUAUAUGGAUAUAAUGCUCGGGUAAAUUAAAUUAAAAACUUAUGACAACAAAAUAUUAUACCCGCAAAACAGUUUAAAUCGAAAUUGGGUUUGCCGUAGUUCGCGGAUAGUGAAGAUUAAUAAAAGGGAAUCGACUUUCGCAUGCGACUUUUAUUUGGAUUUGUUUGGAUUUUUAUUUGAAUUCUAACCGAAUUCAAAUCAAUUCUUGCACGUAACUAUAGAGCCCGAGGGAGUUGCGGAUCCAAGCGAAGGCCAAGACCCGCAAGACUUUGAGCAAGGCAAGUCAUCACUAUUCCUUGAACAUGUUGAUCCCAAUUGCGAAAUUAUUUUGUUUAUAAAUAAAAUUGCAUGCAAUGAUGAAUAUCCUACUUGGGAUUAUGCCAUGCCUUGAUUAUUGUUUACCCUUAAAUCUUUGUAACCAUGUCUACGUAUGAGUCCCUAGUCAAUUAUGACAAUUGCUUAGAAAUGCUAUUCUAGAAUCAUGCAUACUCAUAUUUAUCAAAUGCUAUAUGCUUGGGCAAUUACCUUUGGGAAGGUAAUUGAGAUGCGGCAUGUGGAGACAUGAGCACCACAUUGCCAUGAUGUUGAUGACAUGAUUUGUGAAAGGAGAAAUAAAAUUAAACAAAUGUUUUCGACUGGGGCGGCUGGAGGACUUGGGUGGUGUCCGGUAAAGGCUAGUGCCGUCCCUGGUCAGUUAAGGACCGAGCCAUAAAGUUAAACAUGAAACGACCUCAGUACAGCCGUACUUCUCGAAUGGGUAUAGACCUAGCGGAGUAGAUAGCCGAGCGGAGGCAGUAUCCCUGCAUAGUGGUUUCACUUAGGUGUGUGGACGAACAAGCAGUCUACUGGCGGAUACCCGAUACGGAUGGCCAAAUGGCGGAUACCCGAUACGGAUGGCUAGAGACUGACUUGGCAAGACUACAAGACUACAAGGAGAUACCCAAAAGGGGACAGCAUGGAUUGGGUUCAACUACAGAAUGCGAUGUUAGGCGUGCGUGAGUUUUCCCCCUCGGGAGCGCCAGAACUCCUCUCACUGCUAGAAACCGUGUACGCCUAGAGUGCAUGAGGGCUUAAGUUCAUGGAGCGGAUACUGCCAAAGUGAGGUUAUUGAAAGGCUUUGCCGUGGCAAGUCUCAUUCGUUGGGACGUAGGCUCAUGUGUUGGGCAAGUUGCGGAGUACGGGUAAAGUGUACAUCCACUGCAGUGUGAGUAAACCAAAUCUAUUCGAAUAGCCGUGCUCGCGGUUAUUGAGCACCGGGACAUGUAUUACACUUGGCUAGACUCUAAAUUCUUAACUUGUGUGGGAUGGGAUAUUGCAUGAUGAUUUUUUUUUAUGCUGAUGGAGCCACUUCCUGAGAAGCGGGAAGGUGGACGUCCUCAGAAAACCAUGACGAAUCAAUGGCGGGAAGCUAUCCUUGGGAUCACAAUGGAUGGUGGACAGAACCGUCGUUGUUUAAAUACAAACUCUGGUACUAAAAUUUGAUCAGUCAAUGCUAGGUCUUAGGCUCGUAAAAAGAAUUACAAAACUUGCUUUGCGCAAAAGAACUAUGGCCAUCCUUUGAACUCCCCCUUUCAUAUGCAUUGUUGCUGUGGUGGCUUGCUGAGUACGGUUGGUACUCAUCCUUGCAAAUAUAAAAUUUAUCAGAAGCGGGAGAUGAAGCCUCGGAGGAUCCCUAUGCCUACUAUCAGGAGGGAGAUGAAGACGAUGGCGUCCAGUAGGUCUUAGUACGGUCGUUGCCUGUGGCAAUGGCAUGCCGCUGCCUGAAUUCCGCUGCCUUAUCUAUUUCUGCUUUUGGAUGUAUUCCGGACCUCUCGGUCCGAUGAUUUAAGACUAUGCCUGCGGGCCUAUGAUGUAAUAAUUCGUAUCAGACACUCGUGUAUGUGCACUUGAUAUUUCAGCUAUGAAUUCGUGUGUACCAAACUACUUGAUCCAGGGAAAUGGUACUGUUUACACGAUUGAUUCCUGUUAUAAAAACGAGGGUCCACACUAUAAAAGGAGUUGCCAUUCUCACUUCACUCACACACCUCAAGCAAAGCUCUCUCAUAUUCUCUCAAGUUUAGUUUAGUGCUUUUAAGCUAGUGGAAUAGGAAUAGAAUAUAAAUCGGAGUCCGGAAGCUUUCGGAAGAGUUCGGGUAUAGCUCUAGUAGCUCUUCUCUUCUCUUUUGUAAGCUUUGUACUUUAUUUCGAAUACUCUUCUUUAUACAUUUAUGGUAUUGAAAUACUUUCCAAGUAUAUGAAUGCCAACUUUACAUUAUGUUCAUGUUAUACUGAUUAUACUGCUAGCUUAUCUGGGAGAUGCAUCGGUACGGAUUUAGUGUUUGUUUAUGCAACUAAUCUAUGUCAUGACGAUGAUAUUUGAGUAGUAUCUGGUAGUUUAGGCGUGGUGUCUAGAUUACGGGAUAUCAUUAUUUGGGGUUAUAUGAUAUGGAUGAGAGGUGGGCCGCUGAUGGUGACAACUCAGUACGGGUAUUCCUCCGCUCGUGUAUACAGUCCUAAGUUAAUUUCCUGGGGAGGGUACUCAUCCGUAUUUAGCCCCAGUUGUAUGGUCAUGACGGGUUGUUGUAAGGAACUUGGCAAUCAGGGCUGGCUUCUCGAAGUACCAGGAGGGCUUCGGAUAGAGGGUAUUAGGUAAUAUGUCAGAUAACUAGAAUGUAUGUAUACUAUAUAUACUAGAAGUAUAGGAAUAGAUUUCAUUUAUCUUCUCUUUCCACUUAGCUUAGAUAAUUUAAUAUGAUAAUGAGUAGCUCCCUGCUUGUGUGUCAUUCUACCCUUGGAUUAUCUUAACCCCUGCUUAGACUAUGAUUAUUACCAGUAACAUAUAAAUUAUUAGUCAGGUUGUCUCUACUAUGAUCUUCCCACGGGAUUAAAUAAAUACGAUGUCCUUCGAAUACUCUCGGGUGAAAUGAUACAAUGGUAUAUCCGUGCGCUUGCGAAUGAACUCUGUAACCAUAAUAUACCAGGAGUAUUUCUGCGCCAUUGCUGGGAGUUAUAUUUCUAGUAAUGUCUGUCCGGUGACAUUGUCGAGCUAGGGUUGACGAUGACGGGGCCUAGACGAGAGCGGCGGGCUUGGGAUCGGAUGACGGCGACCUUCACCUGCAUGCUCCACUCAGGUUUUCUGCGCCGCCUCUACCGCCGAGCGGCGUCGGGCGCCGCUUCAGCGGAUCUGGCAUGGCACGGUUGCUGGCGGGGCGACGAUGGGCGACUGUGGGCAGGAGGCGUGGCAGCUCCACCUCUACCGCCGACUGGCGGCGGGUGCGAUAUCGGCGGAUCCGGCUUGGCAUGGCUGCGGGGGUGGUGGUGACUGGCGACUGCUGACGGAAGGUGAGGAGGCUGCGCAUCCGGACACCGCUCAACGCCCCACGCGCGCGGAUCUUAGCCACUAAGGUGGGGCGUAUCCGGCGUGGAUACGGGCGGUGCGACGUUGGAUCCGAUGCGGAUCCUGCACGGGUGACGGAGGGCGUGGCUGUGAUUGCUGACUGCGGGCAGGAGGCGAGGCGGCAGCGGAUCCGGCCGCCGCUCCACCCCCACGCGCACAGCGCGACCUCCGCCGCGGCAAGCUUGGACUCGAAUGGAUAUGGAGGAGCAGCGGCGGCCACCUCCACGAUGCGCCGCCGUCGAUGUCCGGAGCAAGCGCCAACAAAAAUUUAACUUAUGCUUAAAUUUUGUUGAGUAAAAAUUUUGUUGUCAUAUCAAGUUAAUUUUUUACUCAGUAAGGAUACCAAGCAUACGAUGUAUAUGAAAAAGGGUUUCAAAUGAAUACGUAGCACUGGUUUUAUUAAGUGGAAUUAUCGCACGAAAAAAUCCCCUGUUUUCGGCACCUCAUCUAACUGUUUUUUCUAUUAACGCCGAAUCACUAAUCCCUAUGAUCACGCAUAUUUUUUCUUAAACUAAAAGUUAUUUUUUUAACUACGUAUUUCAGACAUCAUAUAGGUGUUUUUAAAACAAUAAGUUAUUUUUAACUAUUAAAUCCAACAAUAAUAACAUAACAUAAAUUUCUUAAUUUAGUUUUUAACUACAAUUAGAAAAUCUUACAUCUACAAGUUAAAUUUUAACUACAUAUGUAGUCCCCGUACAAGUUUUUGUACAACAUUAUGAAUUUUUAGUAAUAAAACAAAUGUUUUUAACGUCAGUUAUUAUCACAUCGAUUCAAAGUUAAUAGUUAACUCAUCCAUUUUUUGAGUUUACGUAGCUCCAAGAUAGAUAACUCACGUUGUAAAGUUAAAUUUUAACUCCACAACGAUGUCAUCUCAACCCACACCCAAUUGUAUCUAAGUUAAAUUUUAACUCCACACGAAGGUUGGUUGCCUCGGUGGUGGGGGAAAUGGUGAGGAGCGCUUCGUAGCGCCACCGAUGACUAUUAUUUUAACAUUUCUGACUUAAUUAGAGAGAGAAAUUUAGAACCUUAUGCCAAAUUAUAUGGCCUUAACCCACUUAUAUUUUCGUUCCAAGUUGCAAAGAUCAAAAUAAAAAAUAACAUGGAAAAAAUAAUUUAAAACUGAACAUUUUUUUCUAAGUGUAACAUUGUUUUUGGAUUUGACCCAUUCUAAAUAGCAAAGUUCAAACAUUUUAAGAGUAAAAUAUUUAAAAUUUCAAAUAAAAUCUAACAGAAAAUUGAUUUUUCCGGCAUUAUUUUGGAAAUAAAGUCUAACAUAAUUUCAAUUCAAAGUGUAUAGCCCUAAACUACAGAGAGCAGUAAAAGUCUCCUUUUCUAAGAUGCUCUGAUUCAGCAAAAAUAUUUACUAAUGCAAUACUACGUCCUUACAACUAAAUCAAUAGUUCAACAUAUCUAUCUCAUUUAAUUAUAUGAUGUAGUAAUUUAGAAAAUAUCUUCAAUUAAUAUAUAGUAUACAAGAAAAAAAUGUUAGUUACAGUUUAGAAGCUCGAAAAACAAGAUAUUAGUACAAAUGAUCUAUAGUUUCAUAGGUAGCAACUCCAUUAGGAAAAAAAAUAUUAGUAGCAUUCAAAUAAAUCCCAAAUAAAUUAUCUAGAAAAAAUUUAAUAAAGUAAGAUAAACAUUCAUAAUAAAAAUCCAAACAAAUUAAAUAAGAUGUCCACACAUGUGACGGGCUACCUUCCUAGUUAGACAAAUUCAUAAAAAAUUCUGAGAAAAAAAAUAAAACAUCCAACUAUUAAUGUUUAUUAAAUUUGGUGACCCACUAUUUAUGACCAUUAGAUUUAUCUUCGAAACAAUAAAUUCUCUCUCAAACCCAGGCCCACCAGGGCUUUUACGUACGUACAUUACUCACAUUUGUCAGCUCUCUGCUCUUCCCUCAAUUUUUUCCUCCUAUUUUCUACCUAUUCCUUCUCUUAUUUUUUCUUGCUUUAUUAGUUUUUAUUAGUUACGAAAAAUAAAAAUUGUGUUAAACAAUUAAGUUAUAAUAUCUAAAUCAUAGAACUUAGAUCAUAGAAUUUUUUUUGUCCACUUAUAUCUUUAAAUUAUUUACGACAAAAAUUCACUAUAAUUCAACUUUGAAAACAAAUUUUAUUUUGGUUUAUAUCUUCUAACCUUUGCAUACCAUUCAAGCAAUUAUAAAAAAUAUGAAAUAAAGUAACAAUAUACUCCCUCCGUAUCAGAAUAUAAGAAGUUUUAGAGUUAGACACGGUUAUUAAGAAAGUAGGUAGAAAUGAAUGGUGGAGGGUUAUGACUGGAUGAGUAGUGGAGGUAGGUGGGAAAAGUGAAUGGUGGAGAGUUGUGAUAGGUUGGGAAGAGAAAUGUUGGUGGAGAAGUUGUUAUAUUUUGGGAUAAAUCCUGAGAGCUAAAAGUUGUUAUAUUUUGGGACGGAGGGAGUAUAAUUUAUCAUCAUACAUAACUUCAUAGUAAUUAAAUAAGAUCUGCAAUCAUAAAAAGUAAUGUUCCCAAAAUAUGUUACUCCCUCCAUCCCAUAAUAUAAGGGAUUUUGACUUUUUGUUUACACUGUUUAACCAUUCAUUUUAUUAAAAAAAAAUUGGAAUUAUUAUUUAUUUUAUUUGUGACUUACUUUAUAAUUCAAAGUACUUUAAGUACAACUUUUUAUUUUUUAUAUUUGUGUCUUUUUUUUAAAUAAGACGACUAAUCAAACAGUGCAAGCAAGAAGUCAAAAGUCCGUUGUAUUAUGGGACCGAGGGAGUAGAAAGCAAAAGUUAUGCUAAAAAGUAAGCAACUACAACAUCUAAAUCAAAAACUAAUAUUUGAUCCCCUUAUAUUUUUAGAUUAGUUUACAUUUAAAGACACAUAUGCACAGUAAUUCAACUUUGAAAAGAAAUAUGUCAUUUUACGGUUGUAUUUUCUGAUUUCUGCAUUAUUAAACAAAACGAUGAUAUAGAUUUUAUCAGCAUAUAUAACUUCACAAAAACUAAAAUGAACCUAAUUCCAAUUAAUGUUUUUAAAAUAAUACUCCCCCAUCUAACAUUCUAAUAACUCAAAAUAAUAUUAUUUGAUUUGUAAUGUUCAUAUUUUUACUAUCUACUAUGAAUAAGAAGCUAUGGGAAAAGACGAAUAAAAACGAUAAAUUUUAAUCAAUCAAUAAAGCUUCUAUUCUAUAUUUAGUUAAUAAAUUAAUAACAAAUAAAACAAUAUAAUUUAAUUCUCUCCCCUUCAACUCUCUCCUCCUCUCUUCUCUCAUUCAAUUCCUUCGUCUCCUAAUUUUUAGCUAAUUAAUACAAAAUGAUCGAUAAUUAGAAAGCCAAAUGAUUAUAAUUCUUAAGUUAUAUCCGAUUUUUAGUAUAUUUGAACUUUUUUUAUUUAUAAUUAAGAAAAAUAGUUUAAGAUCCGUAUUACCUAUAUUAACAUAUAAAAAUAAAAGUAUGUUAUUUGAACAUAGACACUGAUCCUUUGCAUGGUAACAAAAUAGCAAAAGGUAUAUAACAUUAUAAAAAAUUAUAAUAAGUACUAUUUCACCUUAAAUCGUUGUACAUUCUUAGAAUUGCACUUAACAUGUCACGUGUUACGUCUUAAAUAAAAAUAAAACCUUAUAAGUUGGAAGAAAAAAACAUUUGACAAUCAGUUUCCACUUGAAUAGGUGGAUCCAUUAUUUUUUAGCCAAUAUGUAUACUUUUAAAAAAAGCUUAAGCCAACAUGUAUUACAUCUUAAAUAUUAGAUUAGAAGACAUAUUAGAAAAUAUGAGAAAAAAAUCAAAUCAUCAGAUUUCACUUAAAUCAUCUCUACUAUUAUAAAAAUUGAAGAUGUUUUUGUUGGUAUUUUAGUACUUCAUUCGUAUUUGAGUUGGUUUAUAAGUCUGUUCGCUUUUAGAAAUACAUAUAUGUAUUUGAGUCAAAUUUUAAGUUCGUUUGCUUUUGGAAAUACGAAAGGAGUCGCAUAAGAAAUCUCUUUAAAAAAACAUGCAUUCUAACUUGAGAUAAAAGUCAGGCACCUAACUGCAUCUCAUGAUUUUCUAAACUAAAAUAUCCAAGCGAAUUUCCACGAUGAAUUUCACCAUAGCUAAACCGUAUAACAAUUACAUGAUUAAAAUAUCUUCACCCGUUACAACGCACGGGCAUUUUUUCUAGUUUAGAAAGGUAGAAAAAAAAUGCCCCUCCACUUCGUCCUCCCCCACACAUGCGCACAACACAGUACUACCCACCCCCUCCCCUCUCGGCUUUAGCUAUCCACUCUACCCCUCCCUAUUUUUUAUAGCGAGAAAUAAUUAAAAUUAUUAAAACAAUGCAUAACUUUUAAGCUACACAUGUAACCUCUAAUCGAACUAUUGUUGUAUUCAUAAUUAAACCAAUAAUUUAAAGAUCCAUAACGCUAAUAUUUGAACUUGUAUAAAAUAAAACAAGAAAUAGAAAAUGUCAAUAGGGAAUAAAUUCAACUAUUUGGAGAAAAUGUAAUAAGUUCAUAAAAAAAUUGGCUCUUCCAUUAAAAUUGAACCAACCAUUGCAUGUUCCAUUUUUAUAACAAUUUUCAAAUACCUUACAUCUAUAUAACCUAUACCAUAGGAUUAUGAGUUUCUCUGCAUAUUAUUGCAUAUAAGUCACACUAAUGUUCGAAAGUUAUAUUUGUUAUUAUUAAAGUUAAUUUUUUGGAUUCAUCAUAACUAGGUAUUUUCUUUUUAAAAAGAUAGUAUAAAUCACAUAUAUUACAAGGGAAGGAGUAAUUGCUAAACCCGAUACGGUGAUAGGCCGCCCCUCUUGUGGUCUCUGAGUCACUUGCAAUAUCUACAUGUUUCAUGUGGAGUAAGUCAAAUCACCUCGCUCGCUUUGCUUCGACGAAACUUCGACGACGCGUUCUCACCUUCUUCCACGAUGAAACGGCGGGAACCAUUUAAAGCCACACCACGCCAAUUAUAUAAGCCGAGCCACACCGCCACAGACGAAGCAACGGUAAACAAGCACACAUCCACACAACGGCAAUUAAUCAUUGCAGAGAGCUAGCUAGCAGUGGGCAGUGGCUGCUAGUUAGGUGAGCAGUGGCUGCAACCUGCAAGGGGCAAGUCAUGGCAUCCGUGGAGACGUGGGUAGGGUUCGGGUCGGCCAUGGCCGGCGUGGGCUUGCUUUGGUCCCGGAUGCCGGAGCACGUCCAUGAGGAGGCUAGGUACAUCAUCAGCAGCCUGGUCCCCAUGGCGAUGUCCUACUUCAACCCCUACGAGCAGAUCACCGUGUCCGAGUACGGCGAGGAGCGGUUCCGGCGGAACAAGAUGUUCGGCGCCGUCUCCACCUACCUGAGCCGCGUGUGUGCCGGUGGCGCCUGCAAGCUCAAGGCCGAGCUCUGCAACAACACCAAGGACGACCCGGUUGUCACCCUCGACGAGAACCAGGAGG
This 55170-nucleotide long non-coding RNA is filed under the name Oryza sativa (Asian cultivated rice). RNAcentral's name for it is "long non-coding RNA (OSAT_LNC000179)". The stretch from base 6928 to 7112 matches the Rfam family "MIR812 microRNA precursor family". The record is from RNAcentral. Lineage: Eukaryota; Viridiplantae; Streptophyta; Magnoliopsida; Poales; Poaceae.